Molecule: long non-coding RNA, 72946 nt
Filed under: Ananas comosus (pineapple)
Lineage: Eukaryota; Viridiplantae; Streptophyta; Magnoliopsida; Poales; Bromeliaceae
Description: long non-coding RNA (ACOM_LNC008218)
Source: RNAcentral
GACGAUGACACAUCUCUUGCCAUACGGAUGUAUCCGGCCUCACCCCAUCUGGCACCCCAUGAGUUCUUUACUAUCCAAUAUUUUUUUCCGUUGCUAUCCUGCCCGUAACCUAUAGCGGUGACGGCGUGAUUGAGACUAGUUCCACAAGGUCCGUUAAACACACCGCUCUUGUAAUAUUGAAAGUUUGCAUUGGCAUCGACAGCAACAGUUAUUGGUUGUUUCGACACAGCGUACAUCAUGCUGCUUUCGUUGUUCCUCGGCACACGUGCAUAACCAGUAAUAUAAGCUGAAUUGGGCACGCCAUUGGUCUUGCAGGUGCCUUUGGCUGCUUUGUAAGGGUAGAUAGCUGCCNUUGGAAUCGGACCACGUGUUGCACGUACGGAAUAGGGAGUGAUAAGAAAAAUCUCAUAAAUUAUUAAUACCGUCCAGGCUCUCUUGAGCGAUUAGGAUGUGUAUGGUUGCACGUAAAAUUGUGAAAAAAAAAUUUAUCAAGAAAAAAAAUUUUGGUGGAAAAAAAAUUUUACGUCUUUAGUGUUUGAUUUGUAGGAAAAGAAAAAUAUUUUUUCAUGACUGUUGUUUGGUUGAAAAGAAAAAAAUUGAUAAAAAACUAUUUAAUAUAAUUUUUUAUUAUAUAUUAUUAAUAUAUUAUUAUAAUUUUUAUUUAUAGAUUAAAUAUAUUUAAAAUUAUAAUAAAUAUAUAACAUAAUAUCUAAGCUUACCCGAAUGCCACGCCUUGUUAGAUAUGAUGAAUUCGAAGGCUCCUGAACUCCCAGCCGCCCUUUGCACCCCAGUAGCCUUUAGCACAAUCGAAACUUUGCUGCUCCGGUUGAUUUUUUUUGUAAAAGGUUUCUAAAGAUCCCUUUGUUUGAUCUUGUGAUUGAUUUCUAAACCCGUCGCAAUUGCAGGCGAAUGCCACAGCAAGCCACCUGUGCCGAAACAAAGAUUGAAAUCGGUGUUAGCAUAGCUAGUGUAAAGCAAAGUAAUAUAUAUGUAGUUGCCAUGAUAAAAGAAAAACAUUCCAACUAAACCUAAUUAGAUGUUAUUUGUCAAGUAUUGCAGCUGCUUUUAACUUGUUUCAAGUCAGUUGUCAUGCAUAGGGAUGUCCCAUUCUUUUGACUAACACCGUACAUAUUUUGCUUAACUUUCAUAAUAUUAUUGUAAUAAACUUAAUUAAUAAUAGAAAUUCAAAUAAUAACCUAACGCCUAGAUGAUUGAAAUCAAGGUCGAAGUCUAUGAUGUUAUGGUUGAAGUCUUUAAGUGUGUUUUGGAUGAGCAAUUCUUCUUAAUCAGCCAUGUAUUUCUGUAAUCAGUUUGAUUGUGACUUAUGAUCCACAGUUCCGAUCAGGCAAGGCGAUGAUUUUUUAUACUAGAUUCAAACUUCCUUGUAUGAGAAUUGAUAAUAAAUGUCUAGUGAAUGUUUAGAGCAAAAUAAUAGAUUAUUGCGUUUUAGUGGUGGAGUUUUGGUCCUUUAGCCAAAAACGGCGGAAGGCACUUCAUUGGUGAGAUUUGAUCUAAGCAACAUGUUUAAAGUUAACUAAGGUAGCAUUUGGUUGGGAAUAAUAGGGAAAUAAAGCCCUUGUUCUCAAACGCAGCUUUGUAUCGCGAGAAUAAAUAGUUAAUUCUCGAGUUUCUAAAAAUGCCCGGGUAUAGAAGAUUGGAAAGCGUUGUUCCAAACCUUUUUCUGGAAAAGUUUGUUCCUAGGUGAGCAAUAAGAUUAUUAAAGUCUAAAUAGUUUAAUUUAUGGUAUUCGAAUUAACUUAAUUAAUUUAAUUAAUAUAUUUAAAAUUACCUAUUUAAAUCUUUAAAUAAUAAAAUAAUGUAUUAAUUUAUUAUAAUUAAUUAAUUAAUUUAUAAUUAAUAAGAAGUUCGUAUCUAUUUCUAAAUAAGCGUUUUUACUAUACCCAAACCAAACGCAGCCUAAAUGGAAUAGGUAUUGUCUCCCUAAAGUUGCAAGAAAUGAAUUGCAUUGAUAAUUUAUACGCUAAAAUAUUUCUUACGCACAGGCGGUUUUGGUGCUAUGACACUUGGUUAGGCGGCAACCGUAGUUCUUCCAAUCAAGUACUCUUGAGGGCACGCGCGGAGAUGUCUACGUCAUCAAACGACACCUACUGGCCUUCUCUCUCGAUAUUUAUGGGCGAAGAUAUACGCACCAGUAUAAUUGAGGGGCAUAAAAAAUUCGUUACUUUGUCAUAUCGGUAACUGAUUGAUGCCGAGAGUGUACGAAUUUUCGUUGCGACUGUUAAAGGUUUCGAUAUGGUUUCACGUUGUUUCUUGAAUAUCUGAAACGGCGCAUCUCUCAUCGUUGCUUGUAAACUCGGCUCGUACUACACCAUCCAUUCUCACCCGCUUCAUCAUGGGAGAUCACUGGUUCGUCAGCCAGAAGCUGGCGAUGCGAAGCCCACAAUCACAACAGAGAAUACAAGAAAAGAAACACGACUUGAACUUUCCAAGCCAAUGCUUAUGUAGACUAAUAUCUGCUAUAUGUAUAGGAAAUUGAGAUCGCAGCUAAAGAGCUUUCUUCUGUGCUGAGAUGGUCUCAAAAAGAUCGAGUUUAAUAUAGUAAGUUCGUACCUUCGAAUGUAGGGGGGAGAAUUAAUCGGUGGAGGCCUAACAAGAAUGUCACAAAUUCGCCAUCAAUUUAAGAUUAAAUAGUUCUGACGGCUUGCGACCCACGUCAUGUGGUCACUAGUGUAGAUAUUAUGAAAUAAAAAUUUUGUAUAAAUAAAAAUAUCAGUUUGGUAUGAAAAAUAAUAAAUAUAGUUAAUAAUUUAUAAACAAACACUUCUAUAACAAAAUAAAACUAAAAUGAAAAAAAUUAAUCGUUUUCCAAAUAAGAAUUAUUCAAGCGCUUGUUAAAAAAAACGCAUACAUACAAAUGGAUGAUUAAAAAUAUUUUUAUAAAUACAAUAAAGAUAAAAUAUCAUAUAGUAAGUUGAUAAUGAAUUAAAAAAAAAAUCACAUAAUAUGCAUAGACUAAUAUAUACUAUAUGAUAUAUAUAUAUAUAUAAUAUAUAUAUAUCGAGUUGAGUUAGAAAUGCUAUCGAUAGCGAACGGGGCGCUCCGCGCCAUCCAUAUUGUUUUCGAUGAUGGAGGCCUUCAAUCGACCAAUGCUCAUCUUGAAACAUGUUUAUACCAGUUGAAAUAUUAGAAAGUCAAUUUUAAAAUCUUAUUCGAAAUCUAUUUACUAAUGAAUCAAAGGUUUCAAAUUUGUAAUUUUAAAUAGUAGAUGUGAAGAUAGUUUUCUCGUUUAAACGGUAAUACAAAGCUAUCGAAUCAUUGAAAUUUUUGGUUCAUCAAAAUUAUUUAGACACUAUUAGAUUAAGAUCUAUACUCCCUGCAUGCUUGAUUAUAAAUUUCUAUCAUCACUUUUUAAGAAUAUUCAUUUUCAAACGUUCAUUUCCACUUGAUGACAAGAAAGCAAUAUCCGAAAAAGUACGAACGGGUCUUCAUUUCAAAGAUCCUUCAAAUGGUAUACACUAUAUCAUUUUCAAUAAUAUCCCGAUCGCGCGAUUGGAGCUCCAUCAUGCGACGCAACCCGAUUCAAGUUCAUCUCAUGUUCCUUGAUCCAAAAGAUUCUAUCAAUCUCAUUCUCUUCACGAUAUCCUGAAGUGCAAAUUAAAGCAUAUGGUACACCCAAAAUCAAUCAUGCAUUAUACUUUUUUAGUGUAGUAAUUUUCUUAAACUUUAUAAAUUAUAUCAACAAAUUAAAUUUUAAUUUUAAAAGUUUUUAGAGGAAAAUAUAAUUAGUUUACAGCAUUUUGUUCAUUUUGAGAUCUUUUUUUAUCGCCCGAGUAAAACGCUAGUAAGACAGAUGUAGUACGCAAUCAUGCCUAUGCUGAGAUUCCUUGAAAAUUUUUGAAUGUAUCGUCAUCUUGAUAAAAAGUGGCCACCUCCAAUCAAUCCAACAAUUUUUUAAAAUUUAUUUUGUUCACAUAAUAAUUAUAAAGAUAUAAUUUUAUUAUAUAUUUAAAAUAAAUAUAAUUAGUUUAUUAUUGAUAAUAUGGAUGUUAUUUAUUAUUUAUUUUUUUGAGAGCCAGAUAGUAUAUCUACCACUUAUUUUUAAUAGUCAUUUAAAAUACAGAACUGAACAAUAUGAAUUAAUAAAAUAAUUGUUAUUAUUAAUGAUGUGAUGUAAGUAUGAUACAGCUAAAUUUUUUCCGCAGGCCAUCUAUAAUGCCUUUAUCGGACAAAUAACUCAUGCAUUCAUUCCUUUCUAUAUUAUUAGGAAGCAUUUUGGUGCUCGUCCUUUGUUUGGACAGAUGGCAAUCAUCGAAUGAGGGGGCCCCGUACAAACCUUCACUCUCCGUACCAAGGGUUAUUGCAGCUAUAUUUGUUUAUUGACAUCGACCACGUGUUGCACGAGCGGAAAGGGAGUGAUAAGAAAAUCUCAUAAAUUAUUAAUACGUCCAGGGCUCUCUUGAGUCAUUAGGAUGUGAUAUGGUUGACGAAAUUGUAGAAAAAAAAAUUUAUCAAGAAAAAAAAUUUGGAUGGAAAAAAAUAUUUAGUCUUUGUGUUUGAUUUGUAGGAAAAGAAAAUAUUUUUCAUGAAUGUUGUUUGUUGAAAAAAAAAAUUGAUAAAAAGACUAUUUUAAUAUAAUUUUUUAUUAUAUAUUAUAAUAUAUUAUUAUAAUUUUUAUUUAUAGAUUAAAUAUAUUUAAAAUUAAUAAAUAUAUACAUAAAAUGAAGAGUUAUAAUUUAGAAGAAUUAAUAAAUAUAUACUAUAUAUAUAUAUGGUUGUUUCGUUAGAAGAGAAUAAAAAAAUGAAAAGUAAAUAAAAAACGAUUUAUAUAUUCUUUUUUUAUUAUUAUAUAUAUUAUAUAGGAAAUUUCAUAGAUGCCCUUCAGGAACCUAUUAAUUUCCAUCAAUGCCCUUCUAAAACUGAUAAUAUGCAUGAAUGCCCUCCAAAUAUAUCAACAAAUUUCAUAAAUACCUUCACUAGUUAAGUUCGUCAAAGUCCCUUUAAAAUAGAGUUAUAUUUUUAAAAUGGCCAUUUUUACGCCUUUAUCUCCCCAUUAACAGUAGAAGAAUAUCUAAAUAGAUAUUUCAAGACAAUUUCUAUAUCACCUAAGUUUAAUUAUUAAAUUAAAUUAUUAAUAUUAAUUAAUUAUAAAAAUAUAUAAUUAUUAAUUGUAUUUUAUAUAAUAGUAUGUUUUAUAUGAUUCUUGGUUUUGUUUCGGGCUGAUUUCGGUUCAGGUUUGGUUUAGAUAUAAAUCAAAACGCAUUACCAUUGAGUUUGAAAUAUAAUGUGAUGUUUAUUUUUUUUCAUCUAAGCUUUAACUGAAACUAUAUGAGUUUUAUAAAUUAUAUUUAAAAGUANNNNNNNNNNNNNNNNNNNNNNNNNUUCUUAGUUAGUCAUAGGAUAUAUAUAGGAUGUUAAGAUCUGUAUAAUUGGGAAAGUGAGGGGUUUUGUAUAGAAAUUUGUCUUGUCGAUAUUAUUGAUUGUUUACAAGUGCUAAACUGUUAAAAUCUCACAACACACCAUAUGGCGAAAAACUGUAAAAUUGUUAUUUUGAUGAUCUUUAAUUGGAUCGACAGUUCAGAUGAUUCGAAAAAAUUGAAAUUUAGGUUCGAAAUAAUUUCAAUAGUGUAGGAUCAAUUUAACGGAGCCGUCGUACGAUAUGGAACGGAUCAUUGAGAAACUAACGUUGUAGCAUGAAGCAGCAUCCUCCUAACCGAUAAGCAUACGCUACUGAUGCGAUAUUAGAUUAUAAUAUAUUAAUAAUAGUAUAUAAUUAGUAUAUACUCAUGUUAUAUUAUAUCGAGCUAUAUAGUAUUAGUAUUAUAUAUGAAGCGAGCUUAUGAUCUUUGUAAAAGAAUCAUGAACUUGAGCUUGCUUGUAAUUUUUGCAUGUUAGAUUUACUAUUUUACUCUUUUCAUAUAUUAAAUAUACUAUACAAUCAAUCGACCAUACUCAACAUGAGAUAAUAUCAUCCUAACGACUCUCCUUAAUCAAGGACCAGAAAAUCUAUAAGCAGAACUGAUUUGAAUAUUUUUAAAAGUAUAAGGACUAUUUUUGUAUUAGAGAAAUCGUUGCUGCUCAAGAAAGAUAGAGGCAUUAGUACUCUUAAAUUAUUUAUCGCUAUGGAGAUUUCAAAUCUGUAAUCCAGUCCGUAAGCUUGAUAUAUAUAUUUUGAUUUAUAAAAUAAAUUUAUAUUACUUUUUGAUAAUGUUUUUAGUAAUAGACAAGCGUUCAAAAUCAAUCGAUUAAAAAAACGGUGAUAAAGAAAAUAAUGAUAUAACGAUGUAUAUUAUAGGAUAUGUGGCCGGCGCAAAUAUAAAAAAAUAAAAAUAAGAUUAAAAGAGUAAAAUGAAAACCUACGCCAAACGAAAAAAGCCUCCGCAAUACAAGGAUAUAAUCUACAUUAUACACAAGUGAACAAGACGGAUAACAACAUGCCGCCCAGCAUGACCACGGAAAAACGAAGAUCGGCGAGAUAAUAGCGAAAACAAGAAUAUCAGCGGAACUUAUAAGAUUCGCGCUUAAAUAUAAUAAUUUGUAAUUUAUAUUUAUACAUCUAAAAUUAUUAAAUUAUAGAUUAUAACAGUAUUCUAUUAAAAUAUCUAUAAAUUGUGGUUAAAUUUUUAAAGUUUAUUUAAAUUUAGUUAUAAAUAAAAUACAAUAAUAUAUAACCCUUAUAUAAUUCUGGUCCUCGUGGCCUGACGGCCCGAGGCAUGCCGAGAACAUGGAUAAAAAGGAUGUCACUUGGGCUGUCAAGCAGCGAGAAUUGAAUCGCGGCUGUUAUGUGGCCUAAGACCAUGUGAUCGGCAUAAUAUUUUUUUUACAAAAAGUAUUAUUUAAUAGAAUAAUAAUUUUUUACUUAAUAUUUUUAUUUUAUAAAUUUCAUGACUAUUUAAGCGACUGGAUAAAGCAUGAUCCGCAUCCAAGGGUAUUAUAGUGAUUGGUUUUGGAACCACGUUAAUUUAAGACUAUUUGAUUCAUUUUUAUAUCCGUUUGAUUAUAGCAUUCAACCAACACAUACUGUAACUUAGGACCAUAAUAUACUAACUGAUAUUUUUAUCUAGGGAUUAAAAAUAAAAGCACCAACUUAGCAACAAGCUAUAAUAAUGGAUAAGCAUUCGACUGAUUCGACCAUUUAUAUUAAUCUUUUUUAUACUUUAUUUCUCAUUAAUAAUUAGCUUAUAGUACCUAUGUAUUACACAACCAAUUAUGUGGCAGGUCAAAUUACACAAACCACUUAUUUCACCUAGAAUAAGGGCAUACACAUUGCGAUCAUAGAGACACAUUUCGAUCCAUUUUGAUAAUAUAAUUAUAGCAACAGUAGAAUGCUCAAUAACUGUAGAUUUUUAAAUAGCUUAUCAUAGAACAUACCAAACAUAUACAGAAAACACAUCUAAGAAAGCAGCUGAAAAUAGGAUGCUACUUGCAUCCUUAUUUGCUGGUUUUAUAACUAACAUAUACUGUAAUAGAAAUGCAAUGAAUGCGUUGGCUAAUCAUCACAUGGAUGCCCAUGACCUAAUCACUGAGGUUCGACUUUCAGAACAGGUAGGUGCCUGGUGACGAAUUGCAUUUAAUGGACUUCGACUUGCCCAGAUUGUAAGUGGGAUAGAGAGAUCCAUGGCUAUUACAUAAUCCAAAUGACGAAUGACCAUCUUGCAAGGCGGAUUAUCCGUCACCCAUCUGCACCAUAGUUCCUUAUACGAAAAUUUUUCCAGGCUGUAUCUUCUGCCAGUAACCUAUAAAUGGGAUGCAUGAUUGAGUCUAGUCACAAGUCGUAUAAACACCACCGUCACUUGUAAUUUGAAAGUUUUGCAAUUGGCAUCAGAACAGGGUCGAAGAGUAAUUGGUUUGAUUGAAUCACAGCGUAACAUCAUGCUGGCUUUCGUUGUUGCUGCUUCUCCGCACAUGUGAUAAACUAAGUAAUAUAGGCUGAAUUGCAGGCUUGUCUGUCAGGGGCCUUAUGAAGUUUGAUAAGGUGAGUAUAGCUGCGAUGCAGCCUUGGUUAGAAUAUUAUAAUCGAAGGCCUCGAACUCCCAUCCGCUUUGCACGCGUUAGCUACAGACAAUGAAGUAGUUGCUGCUCCGAUAAAUAAUAUAAUUCCCAGCUUUGAUCUUGUAGAUGAUCUACCGUCGCAAUUGCACGAAUGACCCCAGCAGACUGUGCGAACAAAGUAUAAAUUCGUGUUAGCUAACGUUAGUGUAAAGCAAAAGUAUAAAAAAAAUAUAUAUUAGUAGGUUGCAUGAUAACAAAAGAAGAAAAAUUUCAGAACUAAAUUGAUACUAUAGAGGUUAUUAUGCAAAGUACUAGGCUGCUUUUUAACUUGUUUUCGAAUACUAUGUCAUAGCAUGGAUGUCGCCGUUCUUUUGAACUAAAAUAAGUUAAUUUUGGCUAUACUAUUAAUAAUAUUAAUUAUCUGUAUAUAAAUUAGUUAAUAAUAGAAAUUAAAUAAUAUUGAGAAUCGCUAACAAUCCAAUGUAAUUAAAUCAAGUCGCAGUUAUAAUAUAUUAUUAAGUUUUAAGUGUGUUGGAAUAUUUCUUUUUAUAACCAACGAGUAUUUAUGUAAUAUAUAUCUAUACUUUACCAUCCACAUUCCGAUAGAAGUAGGAAUUUUUAUUAAUUAAUAGUCAAUAUUUCGAUAAUUUGCGUUGUAUGCAAUACUGAAUAACAAUGUCCUAAUGGAUGUUUAAGACACUUUUGAUGCCCAAAUAAUGGACUUUGUUGGUUUAUAGUGGGUGAAAUUUGGGUUCGCUGUGCUAAAAAUCGCAGAAGGCAUAUUUGGUGAGAUUUGAAUCUAAAAACAUGUUUAAAGUUAAACUAAGAUAGGUAUGUGUUCUAAGCUGAGAAAUAUUCUUUUGACAAUUUUAUUAUAGUCACAGUAAUCCUUACCACACGCGCAUUGUUUCUUGAAUCUUGUUAGCACCAAGUGGUUCCUCAAUAAAUACUUUGAGGGCACGCAGAUGUCUAUGUAUCAAAGGACACCCACUGCUCUACCCCUCCGAAUUUAGUCGGGCAUGAAUACACACAAAGUAUAAUUGACAGUGCCAAAUCGUUUGUUCGUCGGUAACGAUUGAUCUGGUUCGCGGGUGGAACCGAGCCGAGAAAGUAGUAUGAAUUGUUCGUUUGCAUCUGUUAAAAGGAUUUUCGAUAUGGUUUCCGUUUGUUACAUUAGAAAAUUCUCGAAACGGGUAGCAUUCUUUAUGUUAGUUCUGUUUGAUUAAACUCGCAGGGCUGUUCUGAACUCGCGUACUCGCCACCACAUUUAUUCAAACCUUUCAUCAUGGGUUCCUGGGUUCCGUACAACGAGAAUACCGAUGGCGAAGGACUAUACACAGGAAACAAGAAAAGAAACACAGAUUGAACUUGGAACCAUGCUUAUGUCACUAAAUAUUACUAUAGUAUGAAAUUAGAGAUGAGCUAAAAGAGCUUUUCUAAAGCUAGAAGUAUGUCCUCAAAUGAGCUAUACAUAUAGAAGUUCAAUGCCUUGAAUAGUAGUGUGAAUAUUUAAUAGGUGGGAUUAAUAGUGAAUCCGAAUUAAUUACAUCUUACUAUAUAUUUACUCCGCAUCAAUUCUUUAUAAAUGAUUUAACUCGCACACAAUUAAUCUACUAAGCUGCUUCAGAUACCCUUAGUAAAAUUUUCGUGUAUAAAUCGCGUAUUAUAUGCAAAUUUUUAGAAAAGCGAAUUAAACGUGCAUGUCGCAUUUUUCCAGAAAAAUGUAAAAAAAACGCAUUUUGUUUUAUAAAAAAAUAUGUAUUCAACGCGACCAUAUCGUGAUUCGAGAAUGAUUAGCCAAAAUAACGGGUCGCGCGCGGUCGGUUCGCGGCCGUCGUAUGUCGUCGUCUCUGCUCACGCUUGCUCGCGAAUUUUGAAUCACUGUAAAUCCCUGCUGGAAAAAAAUCCGCCUGAAAGAUUCUUUUCCCAAACACGGUUUCGUAAAUUUCUUUUGAAAAAAUUAAUUUUAUAAUUUUUUUGAAAAAUUGAGUUUGGGAGUCUCAGAAGCUCAGAGAAAUGCGGUUUGGGAAUUGGAGAAAUCGCGGCGUUCGCGAAGAUGUUGCGACAGUUCACGAGGCAAUUUGGCCUCGGUGGACGUAUGAGAGGGCAGAUCCCGGUGACGUCCCUCAUUAGUCAUCUUCGUUCAUUAUAUAUUAUAUAAUUUAUAUUUAUAUACAAAUUUAUUUAUAAAUAUAUAUAAUAUUUUUAAUGAUUUUUUAAUUUUUAUGUAAAAAUUUUAUUUUAGGUUUUUUUUAUAGUGCAUAAACUAGUUGUUAAUCUCUUUAAUUUAUUUAAUUUUAUAGUCUUCUAUUUUAUAUUUCUUAAGAAAUAUGAGUAUUUAUACUAAUAUAAAGUCAUUGAGAGAAAAAAAUUUAUUAAUAGCCAGAAGUUUAUCCCCCAUUUAAUUGGUUGCACGUAUAGAUAUCCAUAUAAAUCAACAUACCGAAUAAUAACCGGAUCUGUUUUUAUAGCCGGUAUUUUCACGAUUUAAAAAUUAAAGACGAAUUUAUAGAAUUUAUAUCCGUACCGAAUUUUUCCGAAUCGAAUAACUAACUAUGUUAAUACCAAAUAGGUCUAAAUUAAUUACAAACAAUCAAAUUGAAAGACCAAGUUCAAGUUGGAUCACCUGAAAAUUAAUUUUACGCACGAGUAAAAUUCACUUUACCCGCACAGCCCACCCUGUAUAUUUAUGGAGUUUUAUAUAUUGUUCUUAUGUAAGAGUUUAAAGGUUGCAUUAACUAUAUAUGUUAAUUUUUUUGUUUUUAUUUUAUCGAUAAGAACUGACAUUAGUUAGCAAAUGAAUUUUUUGUUCCUUUUUAACAAUAAGUCUUUAAAAAAAUAAUAUAAUAUUAUAAGAAUAUUUAUUAUAACUUUUCAAACCGCAUAAUCAAAAGCUGAAAAAUAUUAAAACUAGAAGAAAAUAAAAUUACCUAAUUAAAGUUCAUCAUUACUUACUUCGUCACGAUUUAUUGUUUCCUUCAAAGAUUCUAACAAUCAUUUUCUCUCAAAAUAUCUAGGCAAGUUAAACAUUAUUAAACCAAAUAGUCAAAUCACGGAUUAUAAUUUUUUAUAAUGCAUAAUCUUUAUAUAUAACUUUAGUAAAAUUAUAUAAUCUUAAUUAAAUUUAUUAAAUUUUAAAAUUUUUAUGAAAAAGAUACUUAGUUAUCUGUGUUGUUCAUAUUUGAGAAUUAUUUUUCACCAAUUUUUUUAACUUAGCGAAGUGUACAAAUUUGUAUUGAUUACGAGAAUGCCAAAUUCGAGCUAAAUUUUUUUUUAAAUGAAAAUAAACGAAUCAUUACCCAUCUGCUAUAAACAUAGAAGAAUUUCUUUUGACAAAAUCUACUAGAUGUAGACAUGUUGUUUACGUGUGCAAACGUUAGUUUUUGUCUCUUAUCAAUUCUUAUAAAAGUCCAAUGGAGGGGCAACUUUAGCCGUUUGGUUGUGAUGUAGUUAUAAAAUGGUGUAUGUUUUGAAGUAUACACCAAUUGUAACAUUUCCAUUUUAAUAACUACAUUUAGUAUGUAUUGAUUUAAUAACAGUUAGCACUGCUAGUUAUAUUUUCUUCAGUUUGAUAGUAUGGGCAGUUGAGAUUUAAAUUUAUAAAUUCUAAUCAAAUUUUAGAUAGUAAAUGUGAGAUUAUUCUUUGAGUGAUAUACGUAAAUCACUAUUUAAAUAUUAAUUAAAACUUUUAUAUUAAUAAUAAUUAUAAUUAUAAAUUUGUAUAUUGAAUUUAACUCAUAUUAACUGUAAAUAAUAUUAAUAACAUUUGUUCGAAAUAAAAAUUAAGAUAUUAUAUAACUAAAAACUAAAAAAUAGAACGUAUGAAAAAAAAUUUAUAUUGAACCUAACAAAAUAUUAAAAAUCCUAAUCAGAUUAUCAUGAAAUAUGUUUUUUGAAAAAAAAAAUAAAAAAAGAAGUAUAUGAAAAAAAUCAAUUUUGUUUAUUUUUAAAUAGGUGAGUUGACUGCUGGCUCAAAACCGCUGUAGUUGUACUACGCAUUGGCCGUAUUGUAAUGCUUAAUAAAGUUGUUGGGCUUCUCAUAGCAGAAUCAAUGCAGUAGUAUGGUUCUAAACUACACAUAAACAAACAAAAAAUUAAUAGAUGAAUGUAUUUUCAACAUGAAUGCAAUUGAAUAAUAUCAUGCCAAACAGCAAUCAGCUAAUUUAUUUUUAAAUGCAUAAACGAAAGCGAUACCCAUCUUAAAAAAAAGAAAAUUGUUUUGCAAAACCGUGCGAGAUGUGGACCAUUGCCCACGAGAAUAGACUGAUAAAGACUUGCAUAAUGAAAAAAAGCUUUAUAUUUAAAUUUGAAACGUGAUAUUGUCACAGAAAUUUUUAUUAUAAAAAAAUUAGCACACUUCUCACUUCAUUUAUUAAGGAAUUAAAUUAGACUACAAUGAUGAAAAUCGAGCGAGAGAGAUGAGGGAAAAAAAUUUAAUGUCAGAAUACUUAUUUUGCUUAUGCAAGAUUUUUUAAAAAAAGUUAUGAUAGCUUAUGUAUUAUUAAAAAUAUGCCAAUGCAUCAUAAUUGGCAUUAAAUAAUAUACAUUCAAUGGUCUUUUAAAAUGGUCAUAAAUAUUAAUAGUAAAUACCCGUGAUUAGUCAUAUCAAAAAUUGUCAUUAAUUGUUAUAAAAUAUUAUUGUUUAAGCAUUACUCGCUAGUAUUCCACGUCCAUACAUAACCCGCCUCCCAUCCUCACACCCCCAACUAACUAGCGCAUGAGACGAGCAGAUGCGCCCCUCCCCGCCUCCAUCCCCCAUUCCCAGCCCCCCACCUGAUCCCCAAUCGUUCCCCCCCCCGAACCCUACUCCCCCCACCCCCCUCAUGUAUAAGAAAGAGGGGGAGGAUUAUAGGAGAGGGAGUUUGAUUGGCAAUUACAAAAUACACCAUUAAUUUGGACGGAGUUAUAAAGCCGCAUUGAUUAGUAUGGGGGCCCGGAUUAUGUAGGCCUAGGAGGGAGUGAACUGGAUUAUAAAGUCAUCAUUAGUAGAAUAUAAUGUAUAAUUAAUUAUUCCAUAAUUAAUUAUUAAUUAAUUUAUCUCGAGUGAGUGCUAGGAAAAUCACAUUGCAGAAAAACAGAAAAAGAUAAUGAGGAAGGUAGCUGCAUUUUGGAUAAAAAUCGAGGUUUAAUAAAUUAUAGAAGAUUAUGAGAUUUAUAGAUAAUAUGACAAUAAUUAUGUUGUUCUUCCAAAACUGAAAAAUGAUACGAAGCAUGAGGAACUAAGUUUAAAUCUUAUAAUACUAAUUAUUUAAUCUUUCAUCUAACUUAGUUAAUCAAGUCAUAUUUUAAGUCUAGUUAAAACAUCUCACUAAUACAAGGAAUGAGUGUUGAUUUAAAUAUAAAAUAUUGCUUUUUAUAACUUAAGUUUUAGAGAUAAAUAAAAAUAAUAAAAAGUAUACCGAACCAAUAAAUCUAUUGAGUUGCCCACUUAAUUAACAUUAACUAAUCUAUAUUCUUAAUCUUAAUCAUAAUCAAGCGUAUUUCUAUUUUUUAUCGAUUUUUAUGUUUUUUUUUGCCAAUAUAUAGGAGGCGAUUAAUACUAAUUACAUUAGAAAAUAAAGAACGUUAACAUUAUUAUAUAUUUAAUAGCAACUUUUCAUCAAUAGAAUGCUGCAGUUACCAAAUGGUGUCCUAAAUCUAGAUAGACAAUCCAAAAUAUGAAAGCCCGAGUAGAAGUUGCAACUAAAUUUAAUUUUAAAUGCGUAACUUCAAUUUACUACUCCAAAUAGAUUUAGUAAUUUUUAUUUUGUGUUUCUGUACUCAAAAGUUGCCUUAUUAUAUAUAUUUUAUUAUUUUACAAUAAAAUUAAUAAGUUAGGAAAGUAAACUUUAUUUAUAAAAAAAAAAUCAUUAAAGUAUAUCCUGUUAACAUAAGGGUAUGUUUGGUUUACUUUUGAUCCGAAUGGGAAUCGGUUGAUAAAUCCAUGCGAAAUUGUAUUGUUUAUUAGGAAUCGGUUUGGGACUUCUCAUUCUGAGAUCGGAAUAUGGAAUGGUCCAUUAUCUUACAAAUAAGCAAGCAAUUUAACCCGUGCAAUGCACGAGUUAUAACUUAAUAUUGAGAAUUGUGAUUUAAAGAAAGUUAAUGGUGCAUGAUAGAGUUUUUAUCUUGAUAUUUUAAGUAUAUCUUAUAUUUCAUGAAAUCUGAUGUUACAUUUUGAGCAAGAAAUCUUCAAAUAGCAAGUUUUUAAGAAAGAAUAUAAAUCCUUUAGAGCUUAAUGUUCAUAAGAAAAAGUUUUAAGAGUGAAUCCAUAAUGAUUAAAGUAAAGGAAAAACAAAGUGAAUGUAAUAUUUAGACGUGUUAAGAUAUUUAGAUGAUAUAUGGGCAGGAAUGAAAUGCCAACGUCCUCUUAAACAAUAUCGAUUGUAAUAUAAUCACUAUAGUGAAAAGAAAUUUAGAAGCUUGACUUCUCACUCUAGUUUUAGGGUUUUUUUUGUUAUUUUUAUUUUUUUUAUAUUUUUUUAUAGACUAUUUUACAAUUGAAAUUUCUUAUCGAAUCCUGCUUUAAGCGUAAUUAGAUAUGAAAACAGUCAAUUUUCUAAAAAGUUCUGAUGGGAAUGUUUAAUUUGAAAAGCUUUUAACAUAAAAGUAUAAGUUAAAAUCAUAAAAAUAUCAAUAUUGAAAUGGUCUAAUGUAGGUUUUUGAAAGGUAAGUUCAUAAUAUGAAAAAGUUAAAGUUCAAAUACAUUAAAAUUUAAACAUCUUAAUUUUGUUUUUUUUAAAUAUUCAAUUUGAAAUGUGAAUGAAAUUAAACUAUCAUCAAUCCUUUACGACUAAUUCUGUAAAGUUAUAUUUUGAUAGAGAUUGCCGUGACCUACAUUUAGAAAGUAGUUUUUAGAACAUCUUGUUCGUAACACCGACUUCCAAGGGGUCCCAUCUAGACUACUCCGUCCUAGCAUGCUUAACUUUAUUAUCUCUUGGCUGCCACAUCCAAAUGCUUAGCCGGGUUAAGAGUUAUACCUAUAAUAUAUCAUAUAUUGGACUAUCAGGGUCUCACAAUUCCCUCCUUUUUAGCCUGACGUCUCGAGCAGGCUAGACUCACAGUCGGUGAUGGGGGGGGGUCGGGUGAAGCGAUUGAGACUCAUACUCGCUACCGUAUCCAGACCUCACCUCAGCCGAGCUCAUUCAACUUCCGGCUGUAAUUGCUCUGAUACAAAUGUAACACCGACUGUCCAGGGGUCACACAUCCUAGGGACUAAUCCGGUCCUAGCACGCUUAAAUCUCUUAACAUCUUGACCUUGGCACCAGCCAAAUGCUUACGGUUAAGAGUUUAGCUCCUAUUAUAUAUAUAUAUUGACUAUCAGGGGUCUCACAUUUGUAGCAUAAUUCAUAUUAUGAUUCUUUAAACUGAAAUUGCUUGUUAUUAUGAAUAUUAAUGGAUGUAUGAUCUAUCAAUUAUUUCUGGCAAAUAAACUUGACUAACAGUGAGAAUAGUGCCAUGAACUUGUAAUAAAUAUUGAAUUAUAAUAUUUAAAGUAAAGAUUUGUAACCGUUUAGUAUCAAAAACAGCGAAGUUGAAUAUGCCUCAUGCGAAGAAACGAAAAAAAAAUGUUAACGAAUUGGCAUAAGAAGCAAAAAAAACAAGAAAGCCCAAACAUAGAUUGAUGCCGAGUGGGAGGGGGUGGGGGAGAUGUGUACGAAAUCAUUUGUAAAUUGUGCGAAGAUAGAGAGGAAUUACAUCCAUAUUGUAAAAAAAAACCUAGAAAACCAAUGAAAUCAGAGUAAUUAAUUGUGGAAGUUGAAUAAGCUCAAGAAUUAAUAUUUUUAUUAAUUUGUAUUACCUUUAAUAGAGCAAAAUUAGAGAAUUACUGGAAUGUGAUAGAGAGGCGGAGGUGGAAACGUUUGCAAGGCGGUGGAGAGGCGCCAUCAUCGGCGAUAUUAGGACGGAAGCUAGUAAUUAGGGGGGAAAGAAUCCUUGUAGUUGGGAAAAAAAAAAGCUUUAAUAUCCAUAGAAUAAAUAUAAGAAAAUGUGAAAUAAAAAUAUCUGGAACAUAUUUUAAUACUAAUUUUGGUUUUUAAAAAGUAGAAUGUGAAUUAAAAAUGACUUAAAAAAUUAUGGAGACGCAUAUUUAACAAUUAUAUUUUAUACUUAUUUUAUUUUAAAAAAUAAUAAUUAGCUAUUAUAUAUACAGAAAAAAUAUAAAAAGAAUAUCAAGUUUCAAUAUCAAAAUAUGUUGGUAUUAUGGUUAUGAUUUCUUCUAAUUACUUAAGAUAUUAUAUAUAAUAUUUGUAAAAUAUAUAUAUAUUGGUGAUAAUUUGUAUUUUAUUAUAAAACUGCGCCACGUGGCAUAUAUGGAAUUCCUAUGUAAUUGGGCACUGGCAGCAUAAUGGUUCACUGAAAUGCUUCCAAAUUAUAUUAAUAUAUAUAUAGAUAUUAUAUAUAUAUAUAUAUAUUACUAUAUUAUAUAAAUUAUAAGUAUAGGAUGUGGAGGGCUACUAUGCUAUCGUGAAGCACGGAGCUUCCUAGCUUCAGCUCGUUUUUCGAUUGUUCGCGACUUUCGAAUCGUCGAUUCGGCCCGCUCCGUUAAACUUGAUCUAAGAGUAUUUGAAGUAUAUAGAAAAGUAAAUUUUAUGAUUUUACGAUAUCAUUUGUUAGUAACGAAGGGUUGAAAAUCAAUGCUGAAAAUAAAUAAUAAUUUACAAAAUGUAAUAAUUUGACGUAUUAAAAAUUUAAAUCAAAGAUUCUGAUCUAUUUAUAUAGUAAUAAAGAAUUUUCUAUCAAAAUUUCACGUGGUUUGAUAUAUUCUACAGAACGCGUUAAUCUUGCAAACGCUCACUACGGCCAUUAAAUUGUUGAUUUUGAGCCUACUCGAUUCACUAGGCAAAUAUAUCUAAAACAAUAAAAUUUAUUAUUCUAGUAAUCCAAUAACCUAGAUUCAAAGGUUUAUAUGGAUGCCAGAUCGACGAUUAGAUAAAAGUGGAAAUCGAAACAAGGUGACAUCACGAAGGCUCGUGUAUCCGAUAUGCCUAGUAGCCUACACUCUAAUAGUAAUUAGUAGUAUAUAUAUGAUAGGUAAUAUGUAUACUCGAGUCAUGAUUCGGUCUCAGGCCAGGACCCGGAUUGAGUUUCAAUUUCCAAGGCCAUACUCAGCUCUUCCUCAAGCAGUACGCCCAACUUUGCUCAUCUACUCAUUCUUAUUCUCCAUAUACACAUCUUUUCCUCUUUGUCAUCAUUUAUAAAACUACAUGAUAUAUUUAAUUUUGUUAUUAAUUAUUCAAAAAAAUAUGCUUUUUUGUAAUUUUUUGCAUAUAAUUUUUAAAAUAAAUUCCUUUUUUUUUUUGCAUAGCUCUAAUUUGAGAAUAGUAUUAAUUUUUUUUUAUAAAUUUUAGAUAGUUUUUAGUAAAAUUUAUAUUAAAAGUAAUUAAAUUAUUUAUUCUAAUUAUUUUUUACUUUGAUGAAUCAUAGUAAAAUAGGCAGUAAAUUGGCAUACCUUCAAUAUUUCAAUUCAAAAUGAACCCCCCCACCGCAAUGUCGACCAAACGUCUGGAAAAAUAGGCAAUUAAUUGCCAUUUAAAUUCAUUUCUACAUAUUUCAGUUAUUCUAUUAAUUCCAAUCUUGACGGGUGGAAACAAUCUUAAAAUUUAUAUAAUAAAUAAAAUUAAAUAUUAUGAGAAUAGUUAAGUAUGUAUAACUUUUCAAACCACGUAAAAAGUGAAUUAAAAAAUAUUAAACAACAGUAAAAAAAUUAAAAUUACUCGAUCCCAAUUCAUUCAUUUUCUUCAUCCAAAGAUUCUACAAUCUCAUUCUCUCAACGACAUUCGAGUGCAAAUUAAACAUAUAUAUGGUACACCAAAAGUCAAAUCAUGCAUUAUAAUUUUUUAAUGUAUAGUUUUUUUAAACUUUAUAAAAUUAUAUCAAACAAAUUAAAUUUUAAUUUAGAGGAAAAUAUAAUUAGUUACACAUUUUAUUCAUUUUGAGAUCUUUUUUUAUCCCCAAGUAAAACCUAGUAAGAGAUGUAGUGCCAAUAUACAUAUACUGAUCCUUGAAAACGUUUAGAAUGUAUCCGUUAUCUUGAUAAAGUGGCAUCUCCAGUCAAUCAAAGAAUUUUUUUAAAAAUUUAUUCGUUCCAUAAUAAUUAUAAAAAGUAUAAUUUUAUUAUAUAUUUAAAAAUAAUUAUUAUUAAUUUAUUAUUAAUAAUAUGAUAUUAUUAUUAAUAAUGUAAUGUAAGUACGAUUAGGGCUGGCAAACAAGCAAGCCGGCUCGCGUUCGACUCGUGUUCGGCUCGAUAUUCGGCUCGCUCGAGCUCNAAGAUACUUCAAAUGGUAUAUAUAUCAUUUUCAACAAUAUCGAUCGCCGAUUUGGAGGCUCCAUCAUCGACGCUAACCCGAUUCCAAUUCAUUCAUUUCCUUGAUCCAAAAGAUUCUACAAUCUCAUUCUCUCAACGAUAUCUGAGUGCAAAUUAAACAUAUGGUACACCAAAAGUCAAAUCAUGCAUUAUAAUUUUUUAGUGUAUAAAUUUUUUAAACUUUAUAAAAUUAUAUCAAACAAAUUAAAAUUUAAUUUUAAAAGUUUUUAGAGGAAAAUAUAAUUAGUUACACAUUUUGUUCAUUUUGAGAUCUUUUUUUAUCCCCGAGUAAAACCUAGUAAGAGAUGUAGUACCAACAUGCCUAUGCUGAUCCUUGAAAAUUUUUAGAAUGUAUCCGUUAUCUUGAUAAAGUGGCACCUCCAAUCAAUCAAAGAAUUUUUUUAAAAUUUAUUUGUUCCAUAAUAAUUAUAAAAGAUAUAAUUUUAUUAUAUAUUUAAAAAUAAAUAUAAUUAGUUUAUUAUUGAUAAUAUGAUGUUAUUAUUAUUAUAUUUUUUUGAGAGAAAGAUAGUAUACUAUUAUUUUAUUUUUAUAUCAUUUAAAAAUAAACUAAACUGAAAAUGUAAAUUAAUAAAUAAUAAUAUUAUUAAUGAUGUGAUGUAAGUAUGAUACAGUAAAUUUUUUUUCCGCCAGGCCAUCUAUAAUUCCUUUAAGGACAAAUAACUGCAUGCAGUUCAUUCUUUCUAUAUUAUUAGGAAGCAUUUUGCUCGUCCUUUGUUUGGACAGAUGCAAUCAUGAAUGAGGGGGCCCCGACAAACCUUCACUCCGUACACAAGGGUUAUUGCAGCUGAUGUGUUGUUUAUUGGAAUCUCAUAAAUUAUUAAUACCGUCCAGGCUCUCUUGAGCGAUUAGUCUCUAUCCAAAAUAAUCGUGAUAGUUACAAAAUACUUAUUGUAGCAUUGCCUAUUAUAUGUCAUUUGUGUCGCUUAAAUAUUCUAUAGCUGAUAUUCGAAAUUUUUUGAAAAUGCCCUCUAGAUAUUUUAUCAAUAAUUUUCAUCAUCACGCAUACAUCACAUAAAUAAUUUAAAAUUUAAAAUUUAAAAUUAAAAUUCAAAAUUUUAAUUUUAAUUUAAAAUUUGAUACAGAUCUGAAUUUAAAUUUUAAAUUUGAGUUCAAAUUUUGAACUUAAAAUUGCAAGUCAAUUUUAAAUCUAAAUUAAAUUUGAAAUUCAAAUUCAAAUUUAUAUUUUGAAUUUGAGUUUCAAAAUAAAACUUUGAAAUUAAAUAUAAAACUAAUUAAAAAUCUAGAUUUGAAAGUAAAAUUAGCAUAAAAUCUUAAUUUGAAUUCAAGUGAAUUUGAGUCCUCUUCGAAUCCAAAAUCAAAAUUUUAAAUUUUAAAUUUAUAAUUAAAAUUAGAUUAAAUUAAUAUUAAAAUUCAAAAUUAUAAUGUAAAUUUGAGCGAGUCUAUGAUCGGAGUUUAAAUUGAAAAUUGAAUUAAAAAAAUCUAAUUUAAAUUUUGGAAAUAUUUCGAGAUAAAGUUGAUAUUUUAAAAUUGUAGUAGCAGCUUGGAACUAAGAUUAGGAUAACACCCCGUGACGUGAGAUAAAAUAAGAAAUAUUUAUGAUAUAACUCAUUCUAUUGGAAGAGCAUAUAUGAUAUUUUAAUAUUUUUACAAGUAUCUGCNNNNNNNNNNNNNNNNNNNNNNNNNGUGUUUUUCUUUUCGGUUUUUUUGAAAGCAAAUUGUUCGAAUACUAAGGAGCCGUUUUUUCUCGGUUUUCCGCUUGGUUCACAUGGAUAAUAAUAUGGCUAUAUCCGGCCGAAUUACUAAACACAGUGUCCACCACGGGGUACUGUAAGAUAGAAUCAAACUCGAGUAAAGGUUAUAAAAAAAACAUCCUCAAAUUCUCUUCACUUAUUCCAUAUUAUUGGCACAAAAAUAAAUUUUACUUGCACCAACAUUGUCACUCGCCUCGAGACCUCGCCACAUUGUCACUAACAACAAUUAAUUUCUGACACGCGAAUUUUCUCGCCUAAAAUCAAUCUCAUUUCUUACACAAAAUCUAAAUUUCUGUUUCCAUUCUUCUAAUCCAAUACAAAAUAGUAUUUUACCUAUUUUAUUUACAUCUUAUUUUAUCUUAUCCGGUAUAUUAGCCACUGUAACAUCUUGUGCAAUCAUAAAGUGGUGACAGGUACAAGGAAUGCUAUUCUAACUUGCCACGAAGUGAUUCAAAGUCAUACCUUAUUAUCGUUAUCAGCCCGAGAGACGACUGUCUCGCUGAGAUCAGUAGGAAGAAAUAAGGGAUUUGGUGCUAACGUAGGUAACUCCGAUGAUCCAAAUUCGAACUCUAUUUGAUUCAUACAUUUUAGCUAAUUAUAUUAUAAAUGAAAUAAACAAAGCGAAGGGGUAUUAUGGACUCAAGCCCCUUUGUAGAUACCUCUCAAGAAAAAUAAGGAGCAAACUCAUCAUUCAAAUUAUUCAAAUUAUAUCGCGAUCGAUAUAUACUCAGGUUUUUUCCUUGAAUGCUGAUUUCAAUUGAGAGAGAGAGAAAGCAUCCGUUCUAAAAUUGGAGGGAGGCUGACGAAAAGAUCUGUGCCAAACAUUUCUGGCAACGAGGGUUGGUGAGGGAGGCCUAAAGGUGCCAGAGAGUUUAUGACCGGAGGCUUCAUUAGCUACUCAACUCAAAAUCCUUACUACUAUCGAAAAAAUACUCCUACAAAAUAAUAAAUUAAGCUUCAUGUUAUCGGUGUCGCAUGUCAAAAUAGCAUCCAUCCUAAUCGAUUUGUUUGUUUUUGUUUUGUGUGGUUCAGGUUCUACAUAAAAUUUGCAAAUACCCUAUAACAGGAAAUAUAAAAUACCAUGAUUAAAGCGGGGAACAUUAAUGAAUUGUCAGAAAACUUUGAGAUAUAGCCAAUAGAAAUCAUAGGCAAACAUUACCGAUAUACAAUUUAUCCCUAUAAUCACGUUUAUGCUCUACUAGGUUACUUGCCCAUAGAUUAAGCAUUCCUGAUUAGUAAGGCGUGUGAGCUCAUCACCAGAAUCCUAUAUCAACUUCUCCUAUUUUUUUUUCUCUUAUCUCUUUCUUGAAUCUAAUCGGUUUUUUUUAUUUUCAUAAUUACUUUGAACAACCGAACUGAUCAUGGGUUCGAGUGGUAGACUCCUCUGAAAACCCGCUCAUUAAGUAUUUUAGUCACACGCUAUACUCUUCUCACCUUUUCUUUACUACGUGAACGAUGUGCUAAUUUCUCUCGUUCUUACCUGAAACGAAUUAUAUCAACUCGUGUUCCAAUCUGGGGUGCUAGAACCAGAGCCAACUGCUCCCACAUGUUUCCCAUCUUUGAACCAAUUUUUUCUUUUUUUUUAUUAUUUAUAUCGGAUCAAUCUCACUAUAGAGUGUGGUUUAUAUCCCAAUAUCCCGUCUCAAGCUUUUCUUGUUUUGUUGCUUGAAUCGAAUCGUAUUUUUUUUUUUUUUUGCAUUGAACGCAAACUGGAUCACAACUUCUGCAUUAAACAAACUAUAGUCUUUUCCUCUUCUUCAACUUUAUCUCGUUUAUCACAGCGGGAUAAAUCUCCUCAUCCGUCACUAGGUUCAUUGUCGUUUACUUCUUUGCGCCGUUUUUAGUUUAUUCCUCUUAAUUAUCUCUAUCACAUCCGCAACAGCUCAAAAUCGCACGGGUUACUAUACUACAUAUCACCGUAUGGUAAUAAAACUAAAUAUUUUAAUAACAAGUUAAUGAACGAGGCAUUUUUUCAAUCAAGAAACUAUAUCACUGGAGCUAUUACACUUAUAAUAUUUAUGACAUUUAAAAGAGCACGAAUAUAUUAUAUUUUACAAGGGGAGCUUGUGAUGUUAAGUACAUACGCGUGGCGUCUUAUAAGAUUUUUUGUCAAAAAAACUUUCAUAAUGCUUAAACACUAUCACUGAACAAUAGUAUUUUAAAUUAAGAUAAAACUUUUAAUCCUGGGCACGUCUCUUAUCAGCUCCUUAUAUUCCCGUGUGCAACAACUGCUCCAUACAUUUGAAUAACACACAUCACUUGUCAAUAAAGUCUGUCCCCCAUGCCUCAUGCGACUUUACCUCAAUGCUAUUGAUAAGAGACAAAAUAACGGUUUGCACACGUACACCAUUGGUCUACAUCUAAGUUUGAUUUUGCCGAAAAAAUACGCAUUGCACGACGUACAACAUUAAACACUUGGUUCAUACAUCUAGUGCGGUUUCUGGCCAAAUAAUAACCGUUUCCGACGACAGCACUACUAUUUGUGUCUUUAAACAUGGGUAGGUGUGAGAGAGAGGAGAAUUUCACUGUUUUUUUUUAAGACGAUGGGGUAGGUUAGGAUCUACUUCGAUUUGUUUAUUUAAUGAAAAAUAUAAUUUAGUUCGAAUUUAGAAUUUUCGAAUACGCGAACCACCAGUGCGUCUUUAUUAUUGCCCUAGUAAUAUCGUGCCAAAAAGAAAAUUCUCAAAAUGAACAAAACGAAUAACUAAUUAUCUUUUCCCCUAACACAAUUUGAAAACAUUAAUUAAAAUUAAUUAAAUUUGAUAAUAAUCUUAGUUAAGAUUUUAAAAAGAUUAUACAUUAAAAACAUUGUAUAAUCCGUGAUUGAUUAUUGGUUAAUACAUGUUUUAAUUUGCACUCAGAUAUCGUUAGAAAUGAAAUUGUAGAAUCUUGAAGGAACAAAUGCAUGAAUCGGGACUGAGUAGUAUAAGAAUUUAAUUAGGUAAUGUUUGUAUUUUUUUAGGGCUCGUUUAAUUAUUUUUUCCAGCAUUUGUUAUUAUGCGGUUUUGAAAAGUUAUACUUAACUAUCCUAUAAUAUUAGAUAUUUAUUUUCUUGUAAAGAGACUUAUGAGUGUUAAACAGAACAAAAAAUUCAUCAUGCUAAAAACUGAUGUCAAAAGUCUAUUUUUGAUAAAAAUAAAAUAAAAAUCGACAUAGAAUGUUAAAUGCAACCUUAAAACUACAUAACAACAAGUGAAACUCCACUAAAUUACAGGGUAGGGGUUGGGUAUCGAAUUUUCUCUAGUAAAUGACUUAGUGCAAACUUAAGAACUUAGGCUUCCUUAGUUGAUUGCUUUAACUAAGGACCUAUUUGGCGUACUUGUAAGUCAUCUAUGAGUUGAAACGCUGGUUGGGAGUUAAAGUCAUAUAAAGAUUACUGAUCAUUAAUUUCUAAAGUUGAACAGUACGGAAUGAAUAUACAAAGUUUAUUAUAAUGAAAAAAGUCUAAUUUAUGAAAAGAUGUAAACAUUAUUUAUUAUAAUAAAAUUUAAGUAAUUAAAGAUGAGUUUUAAUAUCUAUCUACUAACUACUAGAAAAAAUUACAUGUAAAUACACGUAUAAUAAUUAUUAAAAAAAGUAUAAAUUUUAUAAUAUAUAUUUCAUAAUUAUUAGCCCAUAAUUAUAUAUAUGAAUUGCCAGAUAUGUAAUAUAAAAAUUAAAAUAAUAAAUCAGCUAAUAUAAAAAAGAAUUGCUAUUAAAUGAACAAACUAAUUAACAAUAAAUCAUUAAUACAAACAAUACAUAUUAUAAAAUAUCUCUAAUUGGCAAAAAUUAUUAUAAAAUUAAAACUAAAAAUAAAAUCUGUUAGAAAUAAUUUACAUUAAAUGAAAUAAAAUCACGUUAUAUAAGAAAAUAAUAAUAUUGAAUUAAAUAGAAAAUAUCUAAAAAAGAUAUUUAAACUAAACAUAAAAAUAAUCUUUUAUAGAUAUUUUCAGCACACCGUAAUCUGUUAUAGACCGAUAACUUAACAUUGAAUUAAAUAUUAUAUUAUAAAGAUCUUCUAAGAUAUCGUAUAGACGCCUCAUGAUAUCAACACGCUGUAUACUUACAUCUAAUAAAAUAAUCAUUUAUUCUUAUAUAUAAAUUUUCGAAUCAGCAAAAAGAUAUUCUAAUUUAAAAUUUAAUCGGUAAGAAAAUAUCUUAUAUUAAUAAAAAUUCGUACGGCAAAGAGAAAAAUGGCGCUAAAUAUUAUUCAACAAGUGAAAAAAUUAGGAUCAGAUAGACAGCAGUCCAAAUAUUGAAUAUACCGUGCUUUUAUAUAUAGUAAUAAUAUAUAUAUAUAUCAUAUAUAUAUACGUUAUGGUUGGACGUGGCAAAAGCUACUAUUACGUAGCAAAAUCUCUAUAUGCUGGACCAGUUUGUUUAAGCUUUUGGGAUCAACUCUUUCAUUAUUCUCAAACAAUUGGAUUGAAAUACUAUAUAUCCAUUAGAGACGCCAACUCAACCCCAGGGGGACACUUCAACUAUAUUAUUGACUAAUAUCAUCCUACCUCACAAUUUUUCAUCGCAAGUUAAAAACUUGAUAGCAAAUAAGAGCGUUUUACUAUUAAUAGAUUUAGCUAAUUCAUAUAUAUCUGAGUGGGUGAAUUAUGCUACUAUACUGCAAUAAGUACCAGCCCUUGUAACGUAUGAGUUUUGGCCGUUGGAUGAAAGGAGUGCGGUUAGUUUGAUAGUGUCCUGAGGUCAGUGGUCGUGCGUGGGGCUUAAAUAGUAUACGUCUAACGGUGGAAAUAAUCAAAGAGUACAUCGUGCUAACGGUAAAAACUCAAAUAGACCAAAGGCUUGGUACUAUCCAUAUACAGUAGCCGGACAUCAUAUAGUAUAUGUAUAUAUAUAUAUUAACAUUAGAAUUCGGUAAUGCGUCUGGUACUCCGGCUUUUUUUCCUGUGGGAUUUUGAGAAUUCGCCACAAACCCGCUCGAUACCAGAUGUACCGUGGAUUCGAGCCGUGAUUGUUGGUCUCGAUUACACAACGAAAGCUCGAAUCGAGAAUUUUUUACUAUAAACUCGUAUUCCUACAAAAGCUGAUACUAAUUCACAAAAAAGAUAAAAAACCAAAGCAAGUGCGAAAGAUCGAGGUGGAAAGGCUGGCAGGGGUUUCAAGCCUCCGCUCUUUGCCCCUCCGCUGGCUUCUCGACGAGAGACAUAAAAAAAUAAACAGAGAGAAAAAAGAGGAGAAGAAAGAGGAGAAGAUAAAAAUAAAUAAAGUUUUAGAUCAGUUUGCUGGAAAAUUCAAGCCGAAGUCUACAAAAACACGAAAAAACAGUCACAUCUUUGCAAAAAACCCAAAAAAAUAGUGAAUUUUUAUGCAAAUUGCCUUAAUUUAAUAAUUCCAUCUUCACUUAUUUGACAGUUAAAUUUUACUUACCAACUACUUAUUUAUAGUCGAUUCUUGUGCAUAUAAAAAUAGGUAAGUCUAAGCCUAUCCUUUUUAAUGAUUAUUCAGAUAUAUUUUAUCAAAGGUGAAAUCUGGACAGCUAAAAAUUCGAUCCCUUCAGAUUUUUGGCGAAAUUGUGGGGGAUUUUCCCCUAAAAUAGGUAACUUUUUUUUGCUUAAAGUGCUUGUAAUUCUGUUACUUGCAUUAAGAACACUGUCUAAAAUUAGUAACUACAUAAACCUCUGUCAAGGGGAUCAUUUUCAAUUUUGAAAUGCGGGACAGUCUUCAUAACUAAUUCUCAAACAACUCUUAAACACCGCAAACUAUAUAUAUAUAUAUAUAUAUAUAUUAUUGUUUAGAAUAUUAGCUGCUUAUAUAGUUGUCCACAUUUCACACUUGGAUCUAUAAUGUGAUUUGAAUACUCAUAAAAGGUGAUUGAUAGCAUACAAAAUUAUCCACUUUUAACAUGCAAAAGACAUAUAUAGACUGUACGUAAAAUUUACUUUUGUCUCAAUAAAUGAAAGAUGAAAUGGUUAAUUUGAUUUGAAAUUUUGUUUUUCUCCUGUUCAACUCGUUACGUAACUUUAUUUUCUGUAGAUAUAUGAGAUUUGGGUAAAUUGCACUCCAUGUCUCUAAACUUAAAUUUAGUUUUUCUUCUUUUUUUUUUCUUUUUUUUUUUAUGGAUAGGUAGCAUGCUACCCGCUUCGUUUUAUUUUAUUUAGAAAUAAACUUAGCUGGAAAUGUGAAUCAAUUAGGAUUCGAACUUGGGUCUCAGAUACCAAUCACCAAGCCUUUUUCCACUUCUAGGGACGGUCGGUUAAAUUUAGUUUUUCCACUUCUAAGGACGGUCGGUUAAAUUUAGUUUUAAAACUUCUAAAUUUUGUAUAUUUUUAAGACCGGACUAUUGAUUAUUUGAAUUAUAUCAUUUUAGUCCUUAUUCUGCGUACUCUUUUUUUUUUGAGAGAUAGAUAACAUGCUACCCGCUUCGCUUAUUUCAUUUAGAAAUAAACUUAGCCGGAAAUGUGAAUCAACCAGGAUUAGAACUUGGGACCUCGAGUACCAACCAUCGAGCCCUUUGCCAUUUAUGCUAGGGACGAUCGGUAAAAGCUAGCGUACUCUAAUAACCUUCACAUUAUGUAUACUAUUUUAUUUUUAUCUAAAAAGAAACUAAACACAAGUACUCUAAUAAUAUAAUUUUGUAUUUUGUAUUUCAAUUAUAUGUACUUUCCAUAUAUAUUGACCCUCACGUUACCCCAUAAAUAUUCAAAACAAAUAAAUCUACUAAAAUAUUAUUUUUGAGAUAUUUUCGUAUCAUAAUUUUGCAUGUGCAGGUGCAUGACUUUUCAAAUUGUCUUGGAGCCAUCCCAAUUAUUUUGCAACCAACGUAUUCAAUCCGGGGACAACUCAAAUUUAAUUAUUGGAGCAAGAAAAUGUAAGGAAACCCCUAAACUAUAGGCGACUUUAAAUAGCUCCUUCAAUCUGGUUUAAUUCUCUCUCGUUUAGGAGUGUAAACGAGCUGAACACGAGCUGACUCGUUAAAAUAUCGUGCCGAAAAAUUUAGCUUGUGUUUGGCUCGCUAAUAAACGAGCCGAACACGAGCUGGCUUACAAACAAUAAGUUAAAAGUAUUAAAUUGAAUAUAUAUACAAAAUAAAUAUAUAAAAUUUUAUCCAUUAAACUUUAAGAUUAAUGGGUAUUUUUUCACAUCCUUUUACUCUAUAUCAAUUGAAGUAAGGACUCCUUGCUUUAAGUUCUAAAAUAUUCAAUAGUUUUAUAUAUAGGAACCUGGGGUUUCCCAAACUAAGAAUUACCUAUUCUAAUACUAUGCGAAAUAAUAUGACACAACGAUUGUUCUCCAAAAAUUUAAAGAUGGCUCAGAGGAUAAGGCACUAAUUAAGUUUGAAUCUUAUCGGGCAAUAGGUUCAUCCAAUUUCUUUUUAUUUUAUUUAAUUUAAUUCAAGGUCAUAUUUUAAAUUUAUUAAAACUUCUCGAGCCUAAACAAGAGGUAGAGUGUUAUAUAUAUAUAUAUAUAUAUAUAUAUAUAUAUAUAUAUAAUUCUGCUACUAUACUUUAUGAUAUAUUGUCCUCUGUACUCAUAAUUAUUUCGAUAGAUUCAGACUUCCGAAUCAACGAUCCACAUCAAUUAACUUUAUUAAACAUUUAAAAUUUCUAGAAAUCAAAUUUUUAAUUUUUCACAUCAUUUCACCUUCACUCAAAACUUACAAAAUUGACAAAUUUAACAGCCGGUAUGUAAUACAUUGCUAGUUUAACGGUGUAAAAGAAUUGGAAUAGAUUGAAUUUUUGAUAGAAAUUCUAUUCACUAUCUAAUGAAAGAUUAUAAACUCUAAUCUUAAAUUGAAGGAUCCGAUCAUCCAUUUUUAGAACACCUCGUUCGAUUUUGACCGUUCAUUUUCUGCCCGUUGAUGAUUCUUUAUUGAUUUGGAAAAAUUAAAAAUUUAUUUUUUAAAAUUUCAAAUACUCUAAGUCAUAUUUAAACGGAGUGGAUCGUCGAUUCGAAGCCUAAUCAUUAAAAAAACUUAUGAGUACGAAGAGGUCCAAUACUCAUAAGAGUAUAGUAGCCUUACUAUAUUAUAUAUAUAUUAUAUAUAUAUAUAUAUGUAAUAUAUAUAUAAUAUAGUUGCUUAUAAUUCCUAAUCUUUCUGAAAUAUCCGAUCUACCCCUACUUUUUUUUUCUUUCUAAAAUGCCCUCAUAUGUUCCACCGUUAUUCCAAAAUACCUCCGCAGUUAUCCCUGUUAUGUUUACUUGAGUUAAGCAUGGAUUAAUGUAUACCGCGAGUUAAAAACUAAUUAAAUACCCUAUUUUGCCCCUUACCAUUAUUAAACAAUUUAUUAAAUUAUCUUUUUUUUCUCCUCCAACUUCAUCCUUCUCUCUCUCUCUUCUCUGCUCUCCUCUAACUUGGUCCUGCCCCCGCCGCCCGCCACCGAGCACGCCCAGGCACUCACCACCACCACCAACGCUGCAACCAGCUCCUUCUCGCCUCCGACCUCGCCCCCUAAGACUCGCGUCAUUCGCACAAAAAAAACGGCCCUAGUCCGCCGCUCUCGAUGCGCCUUCCUCCUCCCCGCCGCUUUGCUGUGCCGCGGAGCAAGAGGGCCCCAGCGAUUUUGUGCAGCAAUCUCGUCGCGUUCGUCGUCCCUCCUUUCUGUCACAUUUCGAUCAUCGCUGUGUGUUCGCGGUCGACAUCGUCUCGCACCACGGUAGCAUCAUCGUGCCUUCCACCUCUCGACCCAUCGCUGUGGACGUCUUCUUCGUUCUGAAAACCCAUUCUUGUCUCUGCUUCCCUUCGGGAACAGCCGCUCCAUCACCAAUAUUGCCUCAUGGUCGCCAACCUCGAGGUUUGAGAGUGCGACGGUGUCCGAGGUUGAGGUGUGUCGCGCUGCCGGAGGAGGGGAACGAGGGAGAGGUGUUUAUGAGGAGUCAAUUGGAGAGUUAAUUGGCGAGAGUUAAAACUUAGGUGAUAGUUCAAUUGAGAGUUAAUAGGAUGAAUAGUUAAUUCAUCUGAGAUUAAUUGGAAUACAAGAUAGUCUUCUGUUCUGCAGCUACAAUCUAAGAUUUAAUUAAUUAUUUUUAAAUAUAUUAACUCUUUAUAUUAUUACAUAUAUAUUAUUAUAAUUUAAAUAUAUAAUAUUUACAUAUAUAUAUAAAAAAAAUUAAAAUAAAUACAUAUAUAGUAUAUUAUAUUAUAUAUAUUUAUUAUAAUUAAUCGAAUUUUUAUAUUCCCGAUUUUAAUUGGUGAAUCAUAAUACCCGCGUAAAAAUAAGCUUAUCUGAAUAAUUGCCGAAUCCGGAUUUUUUAGCCGUAUAUUUUCAACAAAUUUAAAAUAAAAAGAUACGAAAAUAUAUCCGAAUUUUAUCCGUACCGAAUUUUUGCCGAAUCCGAAUUAACUAACUAUGCCUCCAACCACCAAGGUUUGUUUAGCUGCGAUCGAUCUCAUUCGUUUAUCUGCUCGCUCCCGACGUGCUUAAUUAAUUAAUUAAAAUUUGAAGGGCAAAUAAGAAAAGUAUUCGCUAUAUAAAGGGUAUAUAAGAAAAGUUAGUUACGGUAGAAGGGUAUAUUAGAAUGGAUAAAAUGGUAAUUUUACAGAGAUAACGGCAGCUCACUAAUGGAACUUAACUCCAGGGAUAUAUUAGAAAAGCUUGGAACAUAAGAAGGGUAUUUUCAAUAUAUAUAUAUAUUGAAACACCUCUCUUUAAUAACUUAAGUUUCUAUAUAUAAAUAAUUGUUUCUCAUCCUUUCAUAGAUUUAACUUUUUUCAUAUUAUAAUAAAUCAAUUAUAAUAUUAUUCCUACGGUUCCAUUAGAAAAUAAUGAAGUAUAUCUUUAUAUGAUUUAACUCCAACCAAGUUUCAUCUACUAGCAUGCUUCAAUACCCAAAUAGGUGCUAAGUCACAAGACAAUCCAAAAUAAGGAAAGCCCAAGUUCUAAGUUGGCACUAUAGUUAAUUUACUGAGUAAAAUUCAGUGGAGUUUUACUUUGUUCUCAUGUAGUUUAAAGGUUGCAUUUAACUAUCAUGUGAUUUUUUAUUUUUAUUUUAUUGAUAGAACUUGACAUCAGUUAAAAAUUAAUUUUUUUGUUCUGUUUAACAAUAAGUCUUUACAAGAAAAUAAAAUUAAUAUUAUAGGAUAGUUAAGUAUAACUUUUCAAACCGCAUAAUAACAAAGUGAAAAAAUAUUAAACAACAGUAAAAAAAUUUAAAAAUUACCUAAUUAAAUUCAUCAUACUUACUCGAUCCCGAUUCAUUCGUUUCCCUUCAAAGAUUCUACAAUCUCAUUCUCUCAACAAUAUCUGAGUGCAAAUUAAACAUGUAUUAAACCAAAAAUCAAAUCAUGGAUUAUAAUUUUUUAAUGCAUAAAUCUUUUAAACUUUAUAAAAUUAUAUCAAAUUAAUUAAAUUUUAAUUAAUUUUCAAUUUUUUUAGGGGAAAAGAUACUUAAUUAGUUAUCCAUUUUGUUCAUUUUGAGAAUUUUUUUUGGCAUCGACUGUCACUAGCGCAAGUGGUAAGGAGUUUGGUGGUCGGUAUCCGAGAUUUGAAGUUCUGACUUAAGUUUAUUUCUAAAUGAAAUAAAUAAAACGGAUAGUAUAUAUGUUAUCUAUCUCUUUAAGAAAAAAAAAUUUUUUGGCAAAACCUAGGAGAUGUAGACCCAAUGUGUGCGUGUGCAAACGUUAUUUUUGGCAAAACCUACGAGAUGUAUACCCAAUGUGUACGUGUGCAAACGUUAUUUUAUCUCUUAUCAAUCGUUAGUAAAGUUGGCAAACAAACUAGGAGAUGUAGACCCAAUGUGUACGUGUGCAAACGUUAUUUUUGGCAAGAACUACGUGAUGUAGACCCAACCCAAUGUGUACGUAUUUUGUCUCUUAUCAAUGAUUAGUAAAGUCGCAAUCGAGAAGGGUACAACUUUUAUUGCAGCUGAUGUGUUGUUAUUGGAAUUAUGGGAGCAUGUGUUGCCCAACGGGAAUAGGACUGAUAAAGACGCGCAUGAAUUAAAAAAGUUAUAUUUAAAUUUAAAAAAUACUAUUGUUCAGAAUAGUUGUUUAGCAUCAUGAAAGAUUUUUUUAAAAAAAAUUUAUGAAUGCCACGCUUAUGUAUUAAAAUAUCACAAUGCCCUCAUAAAUUAAUAAUAUCAUUCAUGCUCUUUUAAAUGGUCAUAAAUAUUGUAGUAAAUAGCUCCAGUGAUUAGUCUCUAUUGAAAAAUCUCGUCAUUAAUUAUUAUAAAUAUUUAUUUUUUUACCAUUAUGUACUACUAGUAUAGUUACCCGCGCAAUGCGGCGGAUAGGUAUUAUCGAAAUAUUAGAUUUUUAAUUCAAUCUAACUCAUCUUAAAUAGAAAUUAUCAAAUAAUUAUAAAAAUUACUGUAAAAUAGAUUAAAAUUAGAUUAAAAAAAUAGAAAAUAAGAAGAGAGAAAAAAAUAAAAAAUAGAGAAACUCUCACUUAAUGUUGGUCUCUAAGAAGGCGAGGCUUGCCAAUAUUUAGUGGUUCAAUGAAUCUACAUUAAUUAGCAAUAAAAUCAAUACCAAGUGUGUUAUUUUGUUAAUUUGAUAUUUAGAUAGAGGGAGUGGUUUCAUUUAUUUAUUUAUUUAUUUAUGAGGAUGAAGGGAUGAAGGGUGGCUUGCCACGUGGCAAGAAAUAUUGUGCUUUCAUUUAGAUUUAUAGAUUUAUAGAUUUAUAGAUUAUAGAUUUAUAGAUUUAUAGAUUUGUAGAUUAGAAUUUUAGGGUGAUUUUCAUUAUUUUAAAGUUAAUAUAUCAUAUUUUAAAAUUGGAAAAGAGUACAACCUACAAAUAAAAAUCCGAUUCUAUUAAAAAAAAAAUAAAAAGUAGAGAUAAGCCGGUNCCGAUUCGAUUAAAAAAAAUAAAAAGUAGAGAUGAGCCAGUUCAAUAAAAAAUCAGUUUCGACACAAAAUAUAUAACAAAAAUAUGUCGAUUCAGCUCAAAAAAAUAAAUAGAAAGAAGAAGAGGUUCAAAAAAGAAUAAUUGAAAGAAGAGAAAAAAAAUCGAAUUCAAAGAAUAUAUAUAACAAAAUAGAUCAGUUCGAAUUAAAAAAAUUUAAAAAAAAAAUAAAAUAUGUAAAAAAAACUUGUUGGUUCGGUUCAAAGAAGAAUAUAAUUGAAAGAAAAGAAAAAAAAAUUAGAAAAAUUUUAAACUAAGGAAGAAGUGCCACGUCAUCUUACACAUUGGGGAUUAAUAAUGACUCAUACCAGGUUCACAUAUAACCCAACCAUACUAAGCCCAUUUGACCCUAACACACACACACACAUAUAUAGGUAUGACUCACAUCAAAAUGACUAACACAAACCAUGCAAACCUACGUGCAUGGGCCACCACUUUAACAGUUAAAAACACCAUACACCAUUUCUCGAUUCUAGUGGGAUGCUGGCCCUGGAGAGAUAGACGCCGGGGCCGGCGGCGGCGGCGGCGUUGACGGGUCGGAGGAAUCAUUUGCUGGAUAGCAGUAGCCGCGCAGUAUGUCUCCUUCUUGAGCCGUGAAGCCGAGGGACGCCAGCAAGACGUCGGUGGCCCAACAGUGAUGCUCGAUGACGCGAAUGGCCCGGCAGCAGCUCGGGCCCAGGUACGUUUCACCGUUGAGGAAGAAGAGGAUUACCUCCCCCGUGCACGACCGGAGCUCCACCAGCGAGUCCCAGCACUGCUUCAUGCCGUCCGACUGCAGGCGGGCCGAAAGGCCGAUCGGGCCGAUGGGCCGAGCCUCCGACGACGUCGGAGUGGGCACGGUUGUGAGGGAGGAUGCUGCGAGCAAGAUAAAAAUAGAUUGUUUGAAGAGAGAAGCCAUGAGAAACUUCAGUGGAGACACUUGUGAGUGAUCAUAUGAAUUGAUAGAUGUUCAUAAAAAUAUUCAUAUUUAUAGAGGUGGAAUCGAUCAAUAAAUAUGAAUAGGAAAAUGAAAAGUGAAAGGGCAUGCAUGCAUAUAUACGUUUUAAGGAAUGUAAGAAGGUCUCUUAGAUUGAGGUGUAAUAAUAAUUAAUCAAUUAAUGGUGGUGGGAGAAACAAAAUUAAGGAAUUUGUAACAUCUUAAUUAAUUAUUAAGGAAUGUGGAGGGUUUUUAAUUAGCUAGUGGAAAAAUUUGGGUCCUAUGUGGACUCGAGCCCAGUUAAGAUUUGGAUAGAGCCAGGUUAAUUUUGUUGAUUGGUUGUUGGAUUUGGGUCAAGAUAAAACCAACAAUAAGCCCUAACCUAGUGUUUGACUCCUGAAAAAGUGUGGAAAAUUAUUUUUAAAAAAUUUAUUUGUUUAUUUUUUCAUGAAAAACACAUUUCUCCAUAAUUUUUUAUUUCUCUGAUAAAAAAUUUAGAAAAGUAAAGUACUAUUUUUUAUGAAAUCUGAAACGAAUGAAAAUUAUUUUUUCAGUUAGAAAAUUAUUUUCACAAAUAAUUUAUAGAAAAAAACUAAACACCUCCUAAGAGAUUUAGUAUUANAAAGUAAAGUAUUAUUUUUUAUUAAAUCUGAAACGAAUGAAAAUUAUUUUUUCAGUUAGAAAACUAUUUUCACAAAUAAUUUAUAGGAAAAAACUAAACACCUCCUAAGAGAUUUAGUAUUAAUUAUGAGGUACAUAUAUAUGAAUAGUUAGCUUAAUGGAGAAUAACUUGAGAAGUAAAAGAAUCAUUAGAAACGGUAACAUUAUUCUUUGUCACAAUUACUGCAUUAAGGAUUAGUAACAUCUCAAUCAUUAAUAAGCAUGCUCUAUAAUUGAAAGAAAAGAAAAAAAAAAUUAGAAAAGUCCUAAACUAAGGAGGAAGCGCCACGUCAUCUUACACAUUGGGGAUUCAUUAUAUGUAAUAGAUUAGUAUAGUAACUCAUGUGAUGUGAUUAACAAAUAAUUAAAGAAAAAAUAAAAAACGGCAACAAAGAAAGAGUAAACGACGAUGGAAGAAGUGACGGUGAGGAGAUUCAUCCCGCCGAUAAACGAAGAUAAAAGUUGAAGAAAGAGGAAAAGAAAUAGUUCGGUCUAAUGCAGAGAUGUGAUCCAGUUUGGUUCAAUAAAAAAAAAAUCCGAUUUGGUUCAAGUAAAAAAAAAGAAAAGCGUGAGACGGUUUGGGGUAAAGCCUACACUCGAUAGUGAUCGAUUCAGUUCAAGUAAAAAAAAAAAAAAAAAUUGGUUCAAAGAUGAAAACAUGUGGAGCAGUUGAGCUGGUUCAGGGCAAUGUAACCUAUUGAUCUGAUUCAUUUCAAGUAAAGAAAGGGAGAAAUUAAGUUCGUUCCACGUAAAGAAAGAAAAAAAUAUGUGAAAAGCUUAAGCCGGUUCGGAGGAGUCUACAUUUAACAAUGAUCAACUCAAUUCAAGUAAAGAACAAGAAAAAUCCAAUUCGACUGAAGCAAAAAAAAAAGAAAAAAGAUACGUGUAGAACUUGAACAGUUUCUGGAUGAAGCCCACAUUUAAUAAUGAAAGGAACGUUAUCAUGUAGCAAAACUAAAAGAAAUAACGUAUAAGGAUAGAUUGAUAUCAUUAAUGUCACUUAAAUUUUCUAUAGUGAUAUUCAAAGUUUUCUACAUUAUUAAUGUCGCUUAAAUGAUAUUCAAAAUUUUCUGUAGAGUAGUUUCAAAAUUUAUUAGAACUAAGAUUAGGAUAAUGCUAUUUGACAUGAGAUAACAUGAGAGAUAUUUAUGAUAUUUUUAGAAGUAUUUGUGAUAGUUUAAGAUUUUGAGGAGUACCUAUGAAGCUGUCCCUAAAAAAAUCUGCAGUUUUGAGCUCUCACAACCUCGUUUCAAAAUUUGGAAGAUAUCGCUCCUUGACUUUCGAAUUUUAUGUAGUACAAUUUUUAGACGGUGUUCUUAAGGUAAGAAACUUAUAAGCAACUUUAAAGGAAAAAAAGUUAUAUACUUACAGGGAUCGCAUUUAAUUUGGAAAUUUGAAUACGAGUUUUUACUUUUUAGCCGUUCAAAUUUCACACUUUGAUAAAUAAUAUGACUUGAACACUCGUACAAGACGAUAGCAUACCCUCACCCUCUUUUCAUACGCACAAGACAUAAACUAUAAUGAAUGUUGGUGCAAAUAAAAUUUAUUUUUGUCCAAAUAUGGAAUAAGUAAUGAGAUUUGAAUUCUUUUAAUUAACCCUUCAACUCAGUUUGUUUUACUUACAGUAUGGCGUUGGACCACUGUGUUAGUUAAUUCGCGUAUAAUACGCGAAUUAUACGCGAACAAAUUGAAAACCGUAUAAAAUGCUCCGAAUACGAAUUGUUUUCCAAAAAAUCAAAAAACUCGUUUUUUUUCCCCUCGCUCAGAUUAUUCACGAUAAAAAUGGUUUUUCCGAAUUAUAUUUUGAAAAAUUCGGAUGUAGCAGCGGUGGAAAGAAGAAAUUUCUUGUGAAUUUUGGAUUUGGUGGUUGCGGAUUGAUGAAAGUUUUUGGACCGGCAUCGGGUGAGCAUUGUUCCACAAAUUUGUGCACCUCCUCGUGAGCAGUCGAGCAACUUUGCCUGUUCAAUUUUGAAGGAAAUAUGAAGACGAAGCGAAGCAAAGAAGAAAAGGGGCGAGCGAGGAAGGAGGACCCUGGAAAAAAUCGCGAUGUACAUUGGGAAAUAGCGGGGUCCAUGAGGCUGCACUCAGCGUCAUGGACCAUGUGGAGUGAGAGGUCCACCGUGCUGCAAUCAUAUAUAUAUAUAUAUAUAUAUAUGAUUUUAUAUAUUAUUUUAUAUUAGUUUAUUUUUAUAUUUAUAAAAAUUAUAAUUAUUUAUGAUAAUGACAUAAAUCUGAAAAAAAUUUAAUAGCCUAAUUAAGGAUAUUUUUCAUAAUUAUGAGUAUUUAUACUAAUAGCAUAAAUCUAGAGAAAAAAAAAAAUUAACAGCCGAAUUUUUUUAUCUCGAAAUUUUAAUUGGUGCACGUAUAAUAUUCGUAUAAAUCACGUAUCCGAAUAAUUUACAAAUCUAUUUUUUAGCCGUAUUUUUAAAAAAAUUUAAAAUUAAAAUACAAAUUUUAUCCGUAUUAUAUUCGUACCGAAUUUUUGCCAAAUCCGAAUUAACUACCUAAGUUGGGUCACAACAUACAUACCGAUUAUUCAGAUACAACUUUAUUUCGCACAGAUGUAUGAGAAUUGGGUAAAUUGCACUAAAGGUCUCUAAAAUUAAAAAUUUAGUUUGGAGACUGUCUGCGUUAAUUUCGCUCAGGCAUCAUUUGAGAUAGGCCAUGCCAAACUAGGCCCCGCCCUCAACUACACGCCACGCCCUCAUCAACAGAACAUUCCAAACUUGGUCCCCUAACAUUUCUUCUUCUUCUUCUUUUUUUUAAAAAAAAGAGUUUAUUUUUUGUUUUAAAUUUUUUGAUAAAUUGAGAUGUUUUAGUGAAAUAUAUUAAGAAUUUUAUCAGAUUUUCCGUGAUUCCAUCAAAUUUAAAAGUUUUGACCAUUCCUAGCAAUUGAAACUUGAAUAAUUUAUAACUAACUAGAAUUGCCCCAAUUAAACAACUUUAGAAGAUAAACAUAUGUUAAGAGUUGAGGAGUCAAAUUCAAAGGAGCCUAUGAUUGAGCGCGUCUUCAUAGAGAUCUACCGAUUAUCUGCUCAUGUAUGCAGCAACCAGAGCUAAACUAUGUUUAUCAGGGCAAUAAUUCGCCCUUUUUUUUUUCAUGAUCUUAAGAACAUGGUUAUAAGCUUUAAUUAAAAUUACAGAGCUUGAUAACAAGUCGAACAAGUUUAUGACAAAAAUAAAUAUAUAUUAUAAGCACAGUCCCAAAAAAUUGUGGGAGCAUCAGAUUUAAUUACUUGGUAUCAUAUUACACGAACGAGCCAUAUUUCAUGCGGAAUAUAUUAAACAAAUAUGAAAAUACAUGAUGUGCAACAUAAUAUUUGACGCAUAUUGGGUGCAAUUAAUUCUAUGCACAUAUGCAUUUUGACUGUUCAAAUUGGAUGGUCCAAAUAGAACGAUCAGUCUUGAUUGAUAUAUAAGGUAUAUAUUUCAUUCAGUUACAUAUUUUAUUAGGAAAUAAAUCCAAUUUCAUUUGUUCCCUUUGUUUUUAAUAAAAUAGAAAUCAUUCACUAGGCUCAGCCUAAAUCUAAUAUUCAUAGUAAGGGUACCGACCGUCCCUAGAGCAAGUGACAAACGGCUUGGUGGUUGGUAUCCGACACUCAAGUUCGAAUCCUAGUUGAUUUACAUUUCUAGCUAAGUUUAUUUCUAAGUGAAAUAAAACGAAGUAGGUAGUAUGCUAUCUAUUUCUCAUAUAUAUAUAUAUAUAUAUAUAUAUAUAUAUAGAUAUUAGAAAAAAAAAUGUCGAGCUCAAUUAUAAAAAGAUUCAUUUAUAUAUAAAGUUGCAACUAUUCGAUCAAAAUCUAAUAGGUAAGAUUUUAUAAAUUUAUUUUUUAUUUAUAUAUCCAAUCUAAUUCAUUUAAUUUAUUGUUCGUUGGUCAGCUCGUGUUCGACUCGUUUAUUAAUGAGUCGAACACAAGUUGAAUUUUUCGGCUUGAUACUUUAACGAGUCAACUGGUGUUCAGCUCGAACACGAGUUGGCUCCAGCUCACUCGUGUUCGGCUCGUUAAUACUUAGAUCUUAGACAUCAUGAAAGCGCAGUUUGAAUAUCAAAAUAAGUUAUUCAAAGAGAAGAAUUGCUUGGGUGAUUAUAAGAAAGAAGUUUAAUUUUUUUCUCCAAGAAAAGAAUUUGAUAUCCAUAGUUAGAUAGCAUGAUAUAUUUUAUUUAUGAGAUUAUUUAAUUAUCUUAUCCAGAAAAUGACUUUCACAGGCUGCAUUAAUAUCAAAUUUUAAAUUUUUGAUCACACUGCUCAUAUAUUAAUAUUAUGUACAAAAUUUUCAAAUAAUAUUUAUAAAAUAUAUCAAAUAAGGUAUUCAUAAAUCCAAAUAGGGCCGAAGUUAGGACGGUAUAAACCAAGUUCAUUCAUCGAAACCAAACCGUACCUAACAACACGUCUUUUAUUAGAUAGUAACUGCCAAAGAGGACGGACCUGGACCAUGUCUCGUGGGCCUACUACCAUGUCUCGCGGAGGACCAUGUCGGUCCAUGAGAACACCUAAUAUUUUUUUAAAAAAUUUUAUUUUAAUAGAAUUAAUUUUUUUAAACCAUAUUAUUUAUUUAUGUAUAAUUAAUGACUAGUUAUUGUAAUAGAAUAAAAUUUUCUCAUUAUAGUAAUAUUUUUUUAAAAAAAGAUUUCUUUUUCAUUAUUGUUAAAAAUUUUUUGAUCCGUCUUUGUUUUCUCCAUCUUAUUAUGGUACAAAUUAAGAGAAAGCUAGAGUACUAUUAUAUACAACCCUUUGUUAAGAUAUUGGUGUGGCUAGGUCGAGUUAGGCUCAACGACAAGCCAUUAUUUCCACCCUAGUGUGCGCGCAUACACAAUUUGCAUUGCAUAAAGAGACACAUGUGAUCCAUUUUAUAGUACUAAUAAGCAACACUAGUACACAAUACUUAAGGAGAACAUUCAAUUGUAGAUAUUCAAACUUACAUGCUCACUGGACACACCGAAACAGAACAGAAACCACAAUGUCGAAGCAAGCUUAGCAAUUGGAUGCAGCUAACAUCCUUAUUUAUGUAAGUUAAGCAAACAAGAUAGCAAACUGCAGUGCAUUGCUAAAUCAUUUGCUUCCGACUUAUGCGUAGCUUCAAGUUUCAGAAACCAUCUUAAUAACUUCGACAUUGGCCCCUGAUUGUAGAGUGGGAUAGAGAGGAGCCAUGGCGAUUCCACAUAAUCCAGAUGAUGAUGACACACCUCUUGCCAUACGGACGUAUCCACGCUCACCCCAUGAGCUACCCCACGAGUUCCUUACUAUCCAAUAUUUUGUUCCACUGCUAUCCUGCCCGUAACCUAUAAUGGUGAUGGCAUGAUUGAGACUAGUUCCACAAGGUCCGCUAUACACACCGCCUCGGUAAUAUUGAAAGUUGUUUCCGCUGGCAUCGAUAAGAGCAGCUAUUGGUUGUUUCGACACAGCGUACAUCAUGCUGCGUUCGUUGUUCCUUUGCACAUAUGUAUAACCAGUAAUGUAAGCUGAGUUGGGCACGCUAUUGGCAGCGCAAGUGCCUUUGUAUCCUUGAUAAGGAUAGUAAGCUGCGGAGGUCACACCAUUGUUAGAUAUGAUGAAAUCGUAGGCCUUGUCCACCCAGCCGCCUUUGCACCCGUAGCUAACAGCACAAUCGAGAACUUCUUGCUCCGAUAGAGAUACUAAGUACCCUGUUUUGAUCUUGUAGAUUCCUUCCACUGUUGCAAUUGCACUGAAUGCCCAGCAAGAACCUAUGCCAAAACAAAGAUAUGCGUUCGCAUAACUACUGUUAGCAAAGUUAUAUAUGAUAUAGCCAUGAUAUAAGGAAACAUUCAAACUGACAUAAUUAGAUGUUAUUUGCAAGUACAGAGCUGCUUUUAACUUGUUUCAAUAGUUGUCAUGCAUAUGGAUGUCCUGUUCUUUCUGACUAGCACUUACUUUGCUUACUUCAGUAAUAUGAUUAUUGCAGUAACUUAAUUAAUAGUAAGAGACCCAGCAAUAGAUCUAACUUGCAGAUAGAUUGAAUCGAGUCGAAGCCUGUGAACAUUGUGCUUGAAUUCUUAAAUGCGAUGGAUGUGUCCUUUUUAUCACCAUGUAUGUAUUUUUGGAUGGUUUAUUAGCACUUACAUAUACAUUUGAUGGCUAAGUUGAUUUUUUAUUAACUAGAUUCAAUACUUCAUUUCCUUGUACACUGAUAAUAUGUGAUAAUACAUGUUUAGACCCUUUUAAUCAGCCAAAGUAAUGGAAUCAUUGAGUUUUAAUGGGUGGAAAUUUGGUCCUUUUGUCCAAAAAAGGCAUAAGGCAUUCGGUAGCAAGCAUAUUUGAUCUAAGCAACAUGUUAUAAAGUUAACUAAGAAUAGAUUUUUUUUUUUUCUAGCUGAAGAAAUGAAGGUGCUUUGAUAAUUUAUAGUCGAGAUUUCUUACCACAGCUGCCUUGAUUCCUGACACUUGUUACAGCACCAUAGUCUCUCCAAUCAAUACUUUGAGCCACCGCGGAGAUGUCUACGUCAUCAAACGACUCCACUAGCUCUGUCUCGAUAUUUAGUGGGAGAGAUACUCCAGUAUAUUGAGAAAUAAAUUCGUUAUUUGUCUUAUCGGUAAACUGAUUGAUACCGAGAGUGUACGAAUUUUCGCUAUGGUUGUUAAAGGUUUCAAUAUGGUUCACGUUGUUCUUGAAUAUCUGAAACCGCCGCAUCUUCUCGUCGUUGUCAUUGUAAACUCGGCCGUACUGAGCCAUCCAUUCUUCAAACCUCUUCAUCAUGGGGUCACUGGGUUCGCCAUGAGAAGCUGCCGAUGGCGAAGCCCACAUCACACAAAGAAACGAGAAAAGAAACAAAAGUUGAAAUUUGGAAGCCAUGCAUAUACAUAUGUAGCACUAAAUAUCUAGUAUAUGUAUGAGGAAAUUGGAGAUCGAGCUACAAGAGCUUGCUUUUGGUGCUGAGAGUAUGGUCUCAAGAUUGUGUUUUUAUAGAAGUUCAUGCCUACGAAUGUAGUUGGGAGUAUUAAUGGGUGGAGGCCUGCAAGAUUAAAUAGUUGUGGACCGCUUGCAACACCACGUCAUGUGGUCAUGUGGUAAUCACGAAAGAAUAAUGUUUCUCUACUUACUCCCACAUUUUAUCCUUGUAAUUUCUUUCAUAGGACAUAAGAUCAUCUUAGGUGCAAGCGAAUGGAACAUACGUUUCUCCAUUUCUAUCUCUUAACUCUUUAACCUUAAUCUUUCAUGCAUAAGCUAUAUUAUUUCUUGUUGUUUAUUUUUCCAUCGAGUAAGCACCAACGCAGGAAAUAAAAAGUCCACAAGUGGUUUAGCCCAUUAUAACUUUAUUUAGAAGCCUAGUAUCAUUCGAACUCAAGGCUACUAGCUUGCUCUAAUAUUGUACAAAAUAAUGUAAUACAACUGUUGUUCUCAAAAAACUGAAAAAUGACACAGAGCACUAGGUACUAAGUUUAAAUCUGAUCAGACUAGUUUCAUUUAACUUCGUUUCAUCUAAUUUAAGUGAAUUCAAAUUCAUAUUUUAAGUCUAUUAAAAUAUCUUGAGUCUAAACUUAAGAAAGAGUGUUGAUUUUAAAUAUUAAAAAUAUUUCUUUUCUUAUGGCUAUCCCUUAAGAAGAAGAUCCCCAUGGCCGAUAAUUUACUGAAAAAGGGAUGGUUGGGUGAUCCCCUCUGUGUCCUCUGUGGUGAAGUUAUGGAGACGGUGGACCACCUCCUUAUAGGAUGUGUGUACACUAAGUUUAUGCUUUUUCGAACCUUGGAGGACAUCCAGUGUUUACAGACUAUGGAGGACGUACCGAUGAUCUGGAGUAAAAUCACAAGAAUUAUUAGGUCGGGGGAGAUUUUGCAGGAUCUGAUUACCGAAGCAGUGUGCUGGUGGUUAAUCUGGAAGGAAAGAAAUAACGUGAUUUUUAAAAACCACUUUGCUGACCCUCUCUUCGUAGUCGGACAUAUCAAGGAGUUGGUAAGAGAGUGGAGGGACUUUUGUUGAGCUGUAUAACCUGUCGAUUACUUUUGUUGCUAUUUCUCUUUUCUUUUUCUUCUUUAUUUGAGCUAUAUUUUUCUUCUCGAGGCCAUGUUGACUCACUGUUUGUAGCCAAAUUUAUUUUCGAAAUGAAUGAUGCGGGUAACGUGCUACCUUUUUCUCAAAUAUAUAUAUAUAUAUAUAUAUAUAUAUUAUAUACUUUGCAAAAUUAAGUUUUUAGAGAUAAAUGAUUCUAUUUUUUUUUCCAUAUUAUAAUGAGCGAUUAUAAUCUAAUUCCUACUAGGGAUGCAAACGGGGCGGUCUGGGGCGGGAAGUUCCUCCACCUCCCGUUCAUUUUUUAUCUGGGCGGGAGCGGUCGGAGGCGGGUUACUUUUCAUUAUUUUUGGUUCCCACUUACCGCUCCAUUCGGAGGCGGAUCGGAGCGGGAGCCGGAUUUUUGACGGAUCGGGCGGAUUGAAGAAGAAAAGAGUCUCCCACCUCCCGCUCCAUUUACGUUGGCGAUCGGGAACGGAUUCGGGACGGUUAUAUUUUUUAUAUAUUUUUGUUCCACUUUACCACUCCAUUCGGGCGGAGCUCCACCAACCCGGAUCCAUUGGCACCCUAAUUCCUACUUUAAUUACCAUUAGAAAAUAAAUAAUAUACCUAAUUUAUAAUGAUUUUACUCCAACCACUUUUCAUCUACUAGCAUGCUCCAUUCCACGUGUCCUAAGUUAGAAGACAAUCCAAAAUAUGAAGAACCCGAGUUAAAGAUUGCAGUAAAGUUAAUUUAAUGAUAACUUCAAUUUAUAUACCUCCAUGAUUUAGUGGAUUUUUUACAUUUGUUCUCUGUGUUCAAAAAUUUUACUUAAUUAUCAUGUAAUUUAUUUUAUUUCACAGAUAUGAUAGAAUCUAACAUAAAGUUAGCAAAGUGAAUUUAUUUUAAAUAAAGUUAUAAAGUGGUAUCCGUUAAAAUAAACUUUACAAUAAAAUAAAAUUAAUAUUAUGGAUGUUAAGUAUAAUAUUGAACUUUUCAACCAUGUAAAAAGUGAUUAAAAACAUUAAACAACGGUACGAAAAAUUAAGAAUUAUCUAAUUUAAUUCAUCGCACUAACUCGAUCCAAUUCAUUCAUUUCCUUGAUCCAAGAUUCCACAAUCUCAUUCUCCCCAAAUAUUUGAGUGCAAAUAUAACAUAUGUUACAAAAGUCAAACGCAUUAUAAAUUUUUUGUAUAAAUUUUUAAACUCUAUAAAAUUAAUCAAAUAAUUAAAUUUGAUUUUAAAUUUUUUUAGAGAAAAGAUAAUUAGUUACACUUUUGUUCAUUUUGUGAUUUUUUUUUUCGAGUAAAAUCUAAUAAGAGAUUUAGUGCCAACAUGCAUGUGUGUAAUUAUUAAGUAUUUUAAGAAUAUAUCAGUUAUAUGAUGAAGUUGCAUUUUCAACCAAUCAAGUAAUUUGUUUAAAUUUAUCUCUUUCAUCAAAUUAUUAAAAAAUAAUAUUAUUAUAUUUUAAAAAUAUAAUUAAUUUAUUAUUUGAUAAUAUAUAUAAAUAUAAUAUAGUAAAUUUUCGUCAUCAUAUUUGUUUGGACCGAUGUAAUCAGGUAGGGGACAAUCACUCUGGGGGGCGUUUGGAUUGACGAAUUUUUGUAGAUUCUACAACGUAUAGUCAAGUGUAUGUGUUGUGAGUUUUCCCUGAUGGUGAUUAUUUUUCUGUGUUUGUUUUGACAGUAACUCGUACCACUGAAAGUUAAAUUCAAUCACUUCUGCUGUUUGUUUUGAUGUAACUUGGUGCUGGUAAAAUUAGUUUUUUGAGUUCCGUUGUUUGUUUUGAUGUAAGUAAGUGGAUCCCAUUAUCUCCUAAAUAUAGUAAUAAAUUUAUCACUAUAAAAUUUAACCUAUUAUAUAAUUAAAUUUUUUAUUAUUAUUUAAAGAUAAUCUUAAUUUAUUAUAAAUAAGGUAAUUCUAACCCAUUAUAAAGAAAGUAGAGUUUAGGUUUUACUGUUUAAUAAAUUGUUUAGAGAAGGUUGAGUGUGGUGGAAGUCGAGUUCGGUACUUUAGAGCCGGAAGUCGAGAGUAGGUGAAGUGGAGCUCUAACGUAACUUGAGUUACAUUAUAUUUUUCACUUACACCAAAACAAAUAACGGAAGUGAUGGAACUUGAGUUCCAUCACUCCACUUACACCAAAAUAAACGGGCCCUCUAUGCACAAGAGUUAUUGCAAUUGAUGUGUUGUUUAUUGGGACAAAAAUUUUAUGGGCAUAGCCCCAAAACCAAUUAGUUUGGGGACUAUGCCGAUCGGUGCCACGUGACUGAUCCGACCGCCACAGAUGGAAAGACAAAAAAGAAAUCCUGUGUUUUUAGAGAGAGAGAGAAAAUAAUUGAAAUCCGUGGCCGUCGGAUCGGCCACAUGGGGCCGAUCGGCAUACUCCCCAAACUAAUUUUGUUUGGGACUAUGCCCAUAAAAUUUUUGUCCAGCUGAGCAUGUGUUGCACAACUUAAGGAGGAGUGAUAAGAGAGGCGAGCAUUAUAAAUUAUCAAUGCCGUCCAGUCUCUCUUAAAUUAUUAUGAAUAUAUUACAAAAACCUUUUAAGAGAAUAGUCUUUAUCAUAAAUAAUGUUGAUAGUUGCAAAAUACUUAUUUUGCCAUUGACUAUUAUAUAUAUUAUUAAUGUGGCUUAAAUUUUCUAUAAGGACUUGUUUGGUUCAAGGGUGGAAUUAGAGUAGAUAAUGAAAUGGAAAUGAAUUGGAAUGGUAAUUAGAAUGAUCCAUUCUCCCAAGACGUUUGGUUUAUUUGUGGAUUGAGAAUUGAAAUGAGUUAUUCACAUUUCAUUGUUUGGUUCGUAUAAACUAAAAAAGUUAUAGGAUACUAUAAUACUAAUUUUACUCUCAUAUAUAAAUUUAUAUUAUUUAAAAUUUAUGAAAAAUAUAAUACUAUUCUCUAAUAAGUUUUUCAAAAAAAAAAUCAAAUUUAUUUUUAAAAACUUUUAUUGAUGUGGGUUAGGAAUAGGAUUUUGAGAGAUGAUAGGUUUUUUUUUUUAUUUUUUUUCUGAUGAGAAAAGGGUGAAGAGAAGGAAGGNGGUGAGAUGGUCACAUGGGUUUUGAGAACUUAGUAGACUUCCGGAAUGAAAUAUCAAUCUAGGCUAAAAGACCGGAAUCAAGUUGAGGGCUAAUGGGCCAUUCCCAUUCCAGUCCGGAAUAGGAAUCCCAAUCCGAUUCAUGCGAACCAAACAAAAUUAACCGGAUUUAAUCAAACUGAUUUCCAUUCCAUAUCCAAAAUGGAUGAACCAAACAAGCCCUAAGUGAUAUUCAAAAUUUAAAAACGACGAUAUUGGCCCAGGCUAUUCAUGGAAUGAGGACCGCUCAACGGACCCUACAUAUUUUUUGAAAAUGCCCUCUAAAUAUUUUAUCAAUAAUUUUUAUUAUCAUGCAUGCAUCACAUGAAUAAUUUAAAAACAAAAAUAAAAAUAAAAAUUAGAAUUAAAACUAAAAUUAAAAUUUAAUAAAGAUAUAAAUUUAAAUUUUAAAUUUGAAUUUAAAUUUUUAAUUUAAAGCUGCAAUCAAUUUUAAAUCUAAAUUUAAAUUUGAAAUUAAAUAUAAAACUAAUUCAACAGCUAGAUUUGAAAUUAACAUUAGUGUAAUUCUUAAUUUUGAAUUCAAUUGAAUUUAAAAAUUAAUAUUAAAAUUCAAAAUUCGAAUUUACAUUUGAGUGUAUCUAAUAUCAAAGUUUAAAUUGAAAAUUGACUUAAAGAAAUAUAAGAAAUAUAAUUAUAAAUUUUGGAACUACUUAGAGAUAAAAUUGAAUAAUUUAAAAUUUAACUAGUGGUAAACUAAUUUCGAGCUAAUCAAGAUUAGCAUAACACUCUGUGUUGUGAGAUAACAUGAGAAAUAUUUAUGGUAUAGCACAUUCUAUUGAAAGAGCGUAUAUGAUAAUGUGAUAUUUUUUAGAAGCAUUCGCGAUAGUUUAAGAUUUUGAGUGGUUAUAAAAUUGCCCCGAAAAAUAUUGGCGGUUCGAACUCUCACGAGCAUGUUUCAAAAUUUAGAAAAUUAAUCUCCCUGACUUUCGACGGUGUUCUUAAGGUAAGGAACUUUAGAGGGAAAAAGUUACAUACUUAAUUAGAGGGAAAAAGUUACAUACUUAAUUAGAGGGAUCGCAUUUCGGAAAUUUGAAGAUGAGUUUUUCGCCAAGUCCAGAUUUCACACUUAGAUACAUAAUAAUAAUAAUAUGAUUUGAACACUCAUAAAAGAUGAUAACAUGCGUGUACGCACUUUUAAUAUGCACAAGACAUAGACUAUAACGAAGGUAUGUUGGUAUAAGUAAAAUUUACCUUUGUCCAAAUAAUAGGUGAAAGAUGGAAAAAGUAAUGAGAUUUGAAUUCUUUUUUUUUACCCUCAACUCAGUUGGUUUGUUCUUGUUAUAGUGGCAUCCGACUGCAACAUACAUAUAUACCGAUUAUAUACUCAGAUACAAGUUUAGUUCGAACAGAUAUAUGAGAAUUUGGUAAAUUGCACUAUAGGUCUCUAAACUUUAAAUUUAGUCAGGCUAAAUUACAGAAAAUUUCUUUGUCAAUAUCUGCUUUUUUACUUUUUCUCUCCGUCAUUCAAAAAUCUAUACUUCGUCCCCUUAAAAAGUAAAAAAUAUUCAUUUCGGUUCUUGCCGUCAGUGUUCCAUUAAGGUUCCGUUUAUAUUUUAUUUUUUAAAUUCAAAAUUGUUAGGAUUUGGUUAGAUUUGUAGUUGAAUCCUAUUUUGGAUAAGAAUUAAUAUUUAAAUCUGUUGGAGAUAAAUUAAGAUUUAAAUAUUAAUUAGAGUAUAAAUCUAAAUAGAUUAGAAUUAAUAUUUAAAUCUAUUAGAGAUUAAAUUAAGAUAGAUUUAUAUAUUAAUUAAAGUCGGAAUUCUAAAUAUACUAGGAUUGGGUAUGUUUUCGUAGGUGCUAUAUAUAUAUAGCAUUGGAGCUAAUUAAUUAGCAAGAAGCCAAGAAGGCUGUGAGGUGUACUGCCAAGAGAGAGAUUCUCUUUGGGGUGUGAAGUACCUGAGAGAAAAAGAGAGAGUUAUCCAAUGAGUUGAGUACACCUAGUGCACGGGUGCGCGUAGAGAAUUGUCUACUUUGUGGGAUUAUAGAAGACGAGAGAAGGGUAGAAAAGAUUCAAAAUAAGGGCUCGGGUUGUAGCUACUCUGUUGCAGAAGAGGAGUCAGAUGUAAUCUUUUCUUAUUUAAUGAAUUUUAUUUUACCUGCAUAUUUUUCUUUUUUAUUAUUAUAUUAGCUUUUUCUGAAGAGACGAGUUUAUGGUGAAAACCCGAUUUGACGUUUUCGUUGCGGAAUCCCAAUAAUCUGUUGCGGAUUCAUAAGAUCCGGUACCGGGACAAGUACCGGAUUCCCAACAAUUAGUAUCAGAGCUGAAGGUUACCGAUCCAAGGGAGAGAUCGGCGAAAAUGGCCACGAAAUUCGAAAUCAAGAAGUUCGACAGCAAGAACAAUUUCGGAUUGUGGCAAAUUAAAGUACGGGUAAUCCUCGUACAGCAAGAGUUAGACGAGAUGUUGAACGGGAAGGAGGCGAAGCCGGUGGAGGUCACGGAUGCGGCAAGGACGAAGAUGGAGCGGAAGGCGCUGAGCACGCUUCAUCUAUUAUUAGCAGAUGAGGUUCUUUACAACGUAGCCAGCGAGACGACACCGACAAAGUUGUGGAAGAAAUUAGAUGAUCUGUACAUGACCAAAUCCUUGACAAACAGGUUGUCUUUGAAGCAACGAUUGUUUACGCUGCGGAUGCAAGAAGCGGCAAGUCUACAUGAGCAUCUAAACGAGUUCAACAAGGUGGUGGCCUAGUAGACUAGCAUCGGAGUCAAUCUGGAUGACGAAGAUAAGGCGCUGAUUUUACUAUCUUCGCUACCGGCGACAUAUGAGCAUCUAGUGACCACAUUGCUUUAUGGCAAGGAGACCAUAAGCGUGGAGGCAGUCACAGGGGCGCUUCUCUCGAACGAGAUGCGGAAGAUGACUCAGGAGUCCGGCAUGCAGAGACAGGAUACUGCUUGGUGGUGAGAGCGAAGAAGGAGACGACAACAUCAGCGACUGAAGAUCGACAGAAGAAGUCACUAUUCGAGGUGGAGUGCUUUUACUGUCACAGGAAAGGACAUAUCAAGCGCAAAUGUCGGGAACUUCAGAAUGAUCUGAAGGAGUUAAAGCGACAAAAGGAGAAAACUGUCGUGAACCAGAACGAGGCGAUAACAGCGAUGGCGCAGGCGGCAAAGUCGGAGAUGAUCGAUUCUGAUGUGCUAUAUGCGGCGACCGGAGGUGCGAAAAUUUCGGAUGAUGCGUGGGUGCUCAAUUCGGCGUGUUCCUUUUACGUAUGCCCGGAGGAGGUGUCUUUUGCCACCUAUAAGGCGAUCAAGGGUGGAAAAGCUCUGAUGAGGAACGGGACGGCGUGCAAAGUUUUGGGAGUCGGCACGGUAAAGAUCCGAAUGCACGAUGGGAUCAUGAGGACGCUGACAGGUGUGCGACAUGUUCCUGGAUUGAAGCGGAAUUUGAUCUCGUUAGGCACGUUGGACUCGAAGGGUUGCGAUAUUUCAGUUUCAGGUGGAGCUAUGAGGGUCUGAAAAGGAGAUCGGGUCAUGUGCGAGGCGAACAAGCGUGGGAAUUUAUACGUUCUGAACGGGAGCACAGUCAGAAUAGAAGGAAAGACGGUUUGGGUUCCAAAAGUUCGCGGAUGUGCAGUCGCUCGAGGCGAAGCAACGGAUGCAGCAACAUCGAGCGGAGAAGACAAGCUCAAGGUGGAGCUUGCAUGGUAAGCUCGAUGUAGCGGUUGAAGACUACAAAUUCAACCAAGGUGGAGAUUGCUAGGAUUUGGUUAGAUUUGUAGUUGAAUCCUAUUUUGGAUAAGAAUUAAUAUUUAAAUCUGUUGGAGAUAAAUUAAGAUUUAAAUAUUAAUUAGAGUAUAAAUCUAAGUAGAUUAGGAUUAAUAUUUAAAUCUAUUAGAGAUUAAAUUAAGAUAGAUUUAUAUAUUAAUUAAAGUCGAAAUCCUAAAUAUACUAGGAUUGGGUACGUUUUCGUAGGUGCUAUAUAUAUAUAGCUGGGGCUAAUUAAUUAGCAAGAAGCCAAGGAGGCUGUGAGGUGUGCGGCCAAGAGAGAGAUUCUCUUGGGGUGUGCCGUACCUGAGAGAAAAAGAGAGAGUUAUCUAAUGAGUUGAGUGCACCUAGUGCACGGGUGCGCGUGGAGGAUUGUCUUCUUUGUGGGAUUAUAGAAGACGAGAGAAGGAUAGAAAAGAUUCAAAAGGAGGGCUCGGGUUGUAGCUAAUCUAUUGCAGAAAAGGAGUCAGGCGUAAUUUUCUAUUAUUUAAUGAAUCUUAUUUUAUCUGCAUAUUUUUCUCUUUUAUGAUUGUAUCAGAUUUUGCUGAGAAGACAGGUUUAUGGUGAAAGCCCGAUUCGACGUUUCCGUUGCGGAAUCCCAACAAUCUGUUGCGGAUUCACAAGAUUCGGUACCGGGACGAGUACCGGAUUCCCAACAAAAAUAUUUCUAAAAUUCUCAUCCAUACCCACACACAUAUGCCACCUCACUCUGGCCCACCCCUCUGUCCAUGCGUAGAUGCACACCCUUGCUCUCUGCCGCCGGAAUGAACAAGAUUGGGAAGAAGGACAUAAAGAAAAUGAGGACAAUUUGUUCAUUUUAUCACACAAUAUUUAUUUAUAAAUAUUUUUAUUUUUCAAAAAUAUAAAGUUUAGAUUUUUAAACGACAAAAAAAAAGAAAAACAGUUAUUGGCCUAAGGUUUUUAUAUAAUUGAGCCAUUUAGUUAAUGCGGAGACAGUCCAAACUGAAAAAUUCUAGAAUGCAACGGGUAUAUUAGUGGCGUGGCGUAACAAACCAAUCAAAUUAAUCUUUUUAAGAAUAUAUGUCCCAUCAUGAUUGUAAAAAAGUAUUUUUAUUGUACUUUUGUUUGAAAAGAAUAAAUGUGAUUGGCUUGUUAUUGAUGACGUGGUGCAAAUGUGACAGUGUAGAAUUCCUCUUCCAAACUAGGCCACGCCCUCAGCUCCAGAACAUUCCAAACUAGGUCCCAAAACGUUUCUUUUUUUUUAAAAAACAAGUUUAUUUUUGUUUUUUAUUUUUUUGAUAAAUUGAGAUGUUUAAAAUAUAUUAUAAUUUUUUAUNUUUAAAUCUAAAUUUAAAUUUGAAAUUAAAUAUAAAACUAAUUCAACAUCUAGAUUUGAAAGUAACAUUAGUGUAAUUCUUAAUUUUGAAUUCAAUUGAAUUUUUUCAAAAUUCGAAUUUACAUUUGAGUGCAUCUAAGAUCAAAGUUUAAAUUGAAAAUUGACCAAUAAUGUAAGCUGAAUUGGGCACGCUAUUGGCGUUACAAGUGCCUUGGUAUGCUUGAUAAGGAUAGUAAGCGCGCUUCGGAGGUCACACCGUUGUUAGAUAUGAUGAAAUCGUAGGCCUUGUCCACCCAGCCGCCUUUGCACCCGUAGCUAACAGCACAAUCGAGAACUUCUUGCUCCGAUAGAGAUACUAAGUACCCUGCUUUGAUCUUGUAGAUUCUUUUCACUGUCGCAAUUGCACUGAAUGCCCAGCAAGAACCUAUGCCAGAACAAAGUUUUACGUUAGCAUAACUACUAUAAGCAAAGUUAUAUAUGAUAUAGCCAUGAUAUAAGGAAACAUUCAAACUAACAUAAUUAAACGUUAUUUGCAAGUACAGAGCUGCUUUUAACUUGUUUAAGAUUUUGAGUGGUUAUAAAAUUGUCCCUAAAAAUAUUGGCGGUUCGAACUCUCAUCACGACCAUGUUUCAAAAUUUAGAAAAUUAACUAGUAGAGGGAAAAAGUUACAUACUUAGAGGGAUCACAUUUCGGAAAUUUGAAGAUGAGUUUUUCGCCAAGUCCAGAUUCCACACUUAGAUACAAAAUAAUGAUUUGAACACUCGUAAAAGAUGAUAGCAUGUGUGUGCGCACUUUUAAUAUGCACAAGACAUAGACUAUAACGAAGGUAUGUUGGUAUAAGUAAAAUUUACUAUUGUCCAAAUAAUAGGUGUAAGAUGGAAUAAGUAAUGAGAUUUGAUUUCUUUUUUUUACCCUACAACUCAGUUAGUUUGUUCUUGUUACAGUGGCGUCCGACCGCAACAUACAUGUAUACCGAUUAUAUACUCAGAUACAAGUUUAUUUCGAACAGAUAUAUGAGAAUUUGGUAAAUUGCACUAUAGGUCUCUAAACUUUAAAUUUAGUUAGGCUAAAUUAUAGAAAAAUCUCUCUGUUAACAUCUGUUUUUUCACUUUUCCUCCAUGUCAUUUAAAAAUCUAUACUUCGCCCCCUUAAAAAAUAAAAAAUAUUCAUUUCGGUUCCUGCCGUCAGUGUUCUGUUGAGGUUCCAUUUAUAUCUUAUUUUUUUAAUUCAAAAUAUUUCUGAAAUUCUCAUCUAUAUCCACACACAUAUGCCGCCUCGCUCUGGCCCACCCCUCUGUCCAUGCGUAGAUGCACACCCUUGCUCUCUGCCGCCGGAAUGAACAAGAUUGGGGAGAAGGAAAUAAAGAAAAUUAGGACAAUUUGUUCAUUUUUAUCACACCAUAUUCAUCUAUAAAUACUUUUUAUUUUUCAAAAAAGCAAAGUAUAGAUUUUUUUUUUUAAAAAAAAAAGAAAAACGGCUAUUGGCCUAAGGUUUUCAUAUAAUUUAGCCAUUUAAUUAAUGCGGAGACAUUCCAAACUGAAAAAUUCUAGAAUGCAACGGGUAUAUUAGUGACGUAGCGCGGCAUAACAAACCAAUUAAAUUAAUCCUUUUAAAAAUAUAUGUCCCAUCAUGAUUGUAAAAAAGUAUUUUUAUUGUACUUUUAUUUUGAAAAGAAUGAAUAUGAUUGGCUUGUUAUUGAUGACGUGGUGCAAAUGUGACAGUGUAGAAUUCCUCUUCCAAACUAGGCCACGCCCUCAGCUCCAGAACAUUCCAAACUAGGUCCCAAAACGUUUCUUUUUUUUAAAAAAAAAGUUUAUUUUUGUUUUUUAUUUUUUUGAUAAAUUGAGAUGUUUAAAAUAUAUUAUAAUUUUUUAUCAGAUUUUCCGUGAUUCCAUCAAAUUUAAACAGUUUUGACCAUUUCUGGCAAUUGAAACUUGAAUAAUUUACUAAAAUUUUCAAGAUAUAUUUAUAAAAUAUAUCAAAUAAAAUAUUCAUAUAUUUACAUAGGGCCGAAGGUAGGACGGUAUCAAUCCAAAUUGGAUUAAACCAAGUUCAUUCAUCGAAACCAAACCAUACUUAACAAAACGUCUUUUAUUAGGUAACUGCCAAAGAGGAGAACCAUGUCGGUCCAGGAGAACACCUAAUAUUUUUUAAAAAAUUUAUUUUAAUAGAAUAAUUUUUUUAAAAAAAAUAUUAUUUAUUUAUGUAUAAUUAAUGACUAGUAAUUGUAAUAGAAUAAAAUUUUCUCAUUAUUGUAAUAUUUUUUUUAAAAAAAGAUUUAUUUUUCAUUAUUGUAAAAUUUUUUUUGAUCCGUCUCUGAUUUCUCCAUCUUAUUAUGGUACAAAUUGAGAGAAAGCUAGAGUACACAAUUGCAUUGCAUAUAGUUAAGAUAUUGGUGUGGCUAGGUCGAGUUAGGCUAAACGGAAAACCCUUAUUUCCACCCUAGUGUGCGCACAUACACAAUUGCAUUGCAUAAAGAGACACAUGUGAUCCAUUUUAUAGUACUAACAAGCAACACUAGUACACAAUAAUGAAGGAGCACAUUCAAUUAUAGAUAUUCAAACUUACAUACUGGCAGGACACACCGAAACAGAACAGAAACCACAAUGUCGAAGCAAGCUUAGCAAUUGGAUGCAGCAAACAUCCUUAUUUAUGUAAGUAAAGCAAAUAAGAUAGCAAACUGCAGUGUUGCUAAAUCAUUUGCUUCCGACUUAUUACGUAGCUUCAAGUUUCAGAAACCAUCUUAAUAACUUCGGCAUUAGCCCCUGAUUGUAGAGUGGGAAAGGAGAAGGAGCCAUGGCGAUUCACAUACUCCAGAUGACGAUGACACACCUCUUGCCAUAGCGGACGUAUCCACCCUCACCCCAUGAGCUGCCCCACGAGUUCCUUACUAUCCAAUAUUUUGUUCCACUGCUAUCCUGCCCGUAACCUAUAAUGGUAUGGCAUGAUUGAGACUAGUUCACAAGGUCCGUAAACACACCGCCAUGGUAAUAUGAAAGUUUUCAGCUGGCAUCGAUAAGAGCAGCUAUUGUUGAUUCGACACAGCGUACAUCAUGCUGCGUUCGUCGUUCCUUCGCACAUAUGAAUAACGCAUAAUGUAAGCUGAAUUAGGAAAGCUAUUGGCGUUGCAAGUGCCCUUGGAAUGCUAGAUAAGGAUAGUUUCUUCGGUGGUCACACCGUUGUUAGAUAUGAUGAAAUCUAGGCCUUGUUCACCCAGCCGCCUUUGCACCCUAGCUAACGACACAAUCGAGAAUUCUUGCUGCCGAUAAAGAUACUAAGUACCCUGUUUUGAUCUUGUAGAUUCCCUCCACCGUCGCAAUUGCAGCGAAUGACCAGCAAGACCCUAUGCCAAAACGAAGAUAUAUACGCAUAGCAUAACGACUGUAAGCAAAGUUAUAUCUGAGAUUGCUAUGAUAUAAGAAAACAUUCAAACUAACAUAAUUAAACUGUAUUUGCAAGUACAGAGCUGCUUUUAACUUGUUUUCAAUGGUUUCAAGCAAUAUGGAGGUCCUGUUCUUUUUGACUCACACGUACUUUGCUUACUUUAGUAGUAUGAUUAUUGCAUAACUUAAUAAUAGUAAGAGACUCAGCAAUAGAGCUAACUUGCAAAUAGAUUGAAUCAAGUCGAAGCCUGUGAACAUUGUCCUUGAAUCCUUAAAUGCGAUGGAUGUGUCUUUUUAUCACCAUGUAUGUUUUGAUAGUUAAUUAACACUUAUAUAUACAUUUGAUGCUAAGUUGAUUUUUUAUACUAGAUUCAAUACUUCAUUUCUUUGUACAUUGAUAAUGUUGUGAUUAUACAUGUUUAGACACUUUAAUAGCCAAAGUAAUGGAAUUAUUGAGUUUUAGUGGCGGAAAUUUGUCCUUUUGUCCAGAAAAGGCAGAAGGCAUUCGGGUAGCAAGCAUAUUUGAUCUAAGCAACAUGUUAGCAGCAUCUUAUAAAGUUAACUAAGAAUAGAUUUUUUUCUUUUUUCUAGUUGAAGAAAUGAAGUUGCAUUGACAAUUUAUAGUCUAAAUUAUUUCUUACCACAGGGGUUUUGAUUCUUGACCUCGUUUACGGCACCAUAGUCUCUCCAAUCAAUACUUUGAGGCACCGCGGAGAUGUUUACGUCAUCAAAUGACACCACUGGCUCUCUCUCGAUAUUUAGUGGGAGAGAUACGCCGGUAUAUUGAGCAACAAAUUCGCUUUUUGUCAUAUCGGUAAACUGAUUGAUACCGAGAGUGUACGAAUUUCCGUUGCGACUGUUAAAGGUUUCGAUAUGCUUCACGUUGUUCUUGAAUAUCUGAAACCGGCGCAUCUUCUCGUCGUCGUCCUUGUAAACUCGGCCGUACUCCGCCAUCCAUUCUUCAAACCGCUUCAUCAUGGGAUCAUUGGGUUCGUCACGAGAAGCUGCCGAUGGCGAAGCCCACAUCGCACAGAGAAACAAGAAAAGAAACACGAGUUGAACUUUGGAAGCCAUGCUUAUGUAGCACUAAAUAUCUAGUAUAUGUAUGAGGAACUUGGAGAUUGAGCUACAAGAGCUUUUGUUGCUGAGAGUAUGGUCUCAAGAUCGAGUUUAUAUAGAAGUUCAUGCCUUCGAAUGUACGGGGGAGAAUUAAUGGGUGGGGGCCUACAAGACGUCACAAAUCGCCAUCAAAUUAAGAUUAAAUAGUUCUGGACGGCUUGCGACACCACAUCGUGUGGUCACUAGUGUAGUGAUCCGCGCAUUACGCCGAGUAGAUACUAUUAAAAUAAAAUUUUGUAUAAAAUAAAAUAUUAGUUUAGUAUGAAAAAAUAGUAAAUAUAGUCUAUAUUAUAAACAAACACUUCUAAACAAAAUAAAACUAAAAUGAAAAAAAAUUAAUCGUUUCAAUAAAAUUAUUCAAGCUUGUUAAAAAAAAAAUCGCAUAUCAUACAAAUGGAUGAUUAAAAUUAAUUUUAUAAUACAAUAAUCAGUUAAAAUAUCAUAUAGCAGUUGAUAUGACUAAAAAAAAACUCACAAUAAUUAAUAUGCAAGACAAUUAAUAUAUACAGAGAUAAUGUGAAACCAUAUAUACAUUAUGAGGAGAUGAUGUGAAGCCAUACAUCCUUACGUGUCUGUCGAGGUCUUGAAGUGCGUGAUGUUGAAAAUAAUUAUUACAACAGAAUUACAUUAUAAGAACACAUUUUCAGAACACUUUUGUGUAAUCAUAUUUAUACUAAAAUUUUUAAAAAAAAUUUAGUAAGAUCUAAAUAUAAAGCGCAAUUCAAUUAAAAACAAAAAGUCUCCUACUCAACUAGCCGCACUCAGCCCACUCGGUCUACUCGGCCUGAUUACAAAUAGAAAAAAAUAAAAAUAAAAAAUUGAUCACCAUCUUCUCUUCUCCUCCUCCGCCGUCGCAGCAUCUUCUCUUCUCCUCUGUCGCCGCAACUGACGAGGUAGAAUUCCGGCGGCUGGAGUUCGGUUGCGAGAAUCUCGCAGGGACCGUCGAGGGCUAUAAUCGCCACAUGUCCUUCUGUCACAGUUUGCUAGAGGAGUGAGUGACAAACAUCAAAUCUGCCAUACAUAUAACGACCCCACAUAGAAUAACACUUUUAAAAGUGUCGGUAAUUUAGCUAACAUCAUUUUUUUUUACCUAUACUGAAAUUUAGAAGUGUCGCUAUGUACCGUUUUUGUUGUAAUAUUAAUGGAGGGGGAACCUACGGUUUCGAACGGAUUGUUGCUUGUAAUCUAAAAAUUUUAACACAUUCUCAAGAAACAUCAACAAAACUUUUAUUAAAAUUUAAAAAGGAGGGUGAAAGAUCAAACGGUAAAGGAGAAGAGUAAAAAAAAAAUAAUGUUAGCUCUUUAAGCCUUAUUAAAUCUAAAGAAAAGAAGAAAAAGUUAAAAAAAAAAGUAGACCCUACUAAUCCUAAAAUUUAGUCAUAAAGAUUAAUGUAUAGAUAUAGUAGUAUAGAUAUUCUAAUCACAAAAAUAUUUAAGUUUCUCUACUUUUGUCACAUUUUAACUUUAUAAUUUCUUUCGUAGGACAUUAAGUGACUAAAUAGAACUCGACGUACCCCUACUCGUCAUGAGAUCAUCUUAGGUGCAAGCAAAAGGAACGUACGUUUCUCCAUUUCUAUCUUUUGACUCUCUAAAUUUAAUCUUUCGUGCAUAACUUCUUGUCUAUUUUUCUGUUGCUUAAGCACAACGCAGAAAAUAAAAAGACAAGUGGUUUAGCCCAUUAUAAAUUUAUAUAGAAGCCUAGUAUCAUUCAAACUCGAGGCUACGUCAUCUGAUAUUAUGUAAAACUAGUGUAGAGACUCGCGCGACGCAGCGGAUAGAUAAUUGAAAUAAAAUUUUAAAGUUUUAAUAAAAUUUAUAUUUACAGCUUAUUGAUGUAUAGAAAGCUAUACCAUAUUAAGUACAACCAAUUUGCAUGACUAAAUUUAAUUUUUAAAAAUUUAAAAUUAUAGUUAGAAACUUAUAUAAUUUUUUUUAAAAUUAUCGAAAUAUAGUAAGAGACAUACAAUUUUAUCAUAUUAUGUAACUUUUGAACAUUCCAUUGUAAAAGAUAAAAAAGAGCCAGCUCUAGUUGUAUCAAGCACUUCUGUCCAAGUAUCAAAACAAAUUGAGAAUAUGAAACACAUAAACAAUAAGUUAACGUAUCUGGCUUAAGAAAAUUUUGGGUGAGAUCUCAGGUUCCAAUCUCCAGUUCUCCACAUCAUACUUUUUAGUUUACGAAAGGGACUUUACCUACAACAGUGCCUACUCAAAAAAGUGGUCAUGGGAUGAAAAUAAAAUAAAAACAUAAAUUAAAAAAAACUAAUAAUUUUUGGAGCACUUCUUCAUCCACACGAGCUUGCUCAUCCAAACCUUAUAUAUCUUCUUAAAUUCAGCUGGUAGUUGCCCCCCUCGUCGAGUCGCUUUUGGAUUUCUAUUGGGAUUUAUGAACAAACACCUCAUCUGCAUUACCAAACUGUGAUAUCUAAACCGAUAUAGCCUUAUUAUCACAUCAACCACAGAAAUUCUAAUUCUAAAAUAAUUUGGAUUUACUAAGAAGUUCCUGCGAUUCUCAAGAAGCGAGCUCCCGCGCAGCGUCCCCUUGAAGAGGUGGCUUAGAACGCCGCUCGCCUCGGCCCAGUUGUGGGUGCACGCGAGCUGCGCGAGGAGGCAGCCGAGGCAGUGGCGGUUCACAGCUAGCUGCUCGGCUUCGCAGGAUGAUAAUUCUCGAAGGAAGCAACGUUCUUUGCAGGCUUUUCUUCUUCUUCUUUUUCUUUUUCUUCUUCAUCGUCCUCAUUAUUUUCAUUAAUGCAAUGAGAGAGAGAGAGAGAGAGAGAUGAGCGUUGUGGUGGGAGAUUAGAUGAUAAUGUUGCAUGAAAAAUAUCAGGUCAUGCAAAAAGUAGAGGGCGGGGGAAUUAAUGGAGGAUGGGAGUUGAUUGGAGUUACAAAACCCACUCAUUAAUGGAGGAGUUACAAAGCCCACUCAUUAGUAGGGGGCGGGAUUAAUGAAGGAGGGGAGUGGACUGAAGUUAUAAAACCCACUCAUUAGUAGAAUAUCAUGUAUGUAAUUAAAUAUUACAUCAUGAAUUAAUUAAUUAAUUUAAUUUCAAGGUGAGUGCUAGAAAAAUCACCUGUGGAAGAGAAAGAGCCAAGAAAGAGCCAAUGAAGAAGGUAGCGCCUCCGUGAUUUAGUAGAUUUUUACUUUGUUUUUCUGUAGUUUAAAAGUUGCACUUAAUUAUCAUAUAAUUUUAUUUUUAUUUUACCGAUAGAAUUUUGACAUAAGUUAGCAAAGUAAAUUUUUUUUAAAAAAAAAUCAUAAAGUGAUAUCCUGCUUAACAAUAAAUUCUUACAAUAAAAUAAAAAUAAUAUUAGUAGAAUAGUUAAGUACUAGUGUAGUGACCCGCGCGAUGCAGCAAAAAAAAAUAUUUUAAUAAAAAUUUACAAAUUAAACAAAUAAAUAUGAAUGUAAAGAAGAAAAAAAAUAUAUAACUAAAUUUGAUUAGACUUAAUAAUAUAAAAAACACAUUAAAAAAUAUUUAAAAUGGAAUCACAACUCAACAAAAAAUAAUAAAAGAAACCGAAAAAAAAAUAAGAAUUAUAUGAGAAGAAAAAUUAUUACAUAGAUAUUAUAAAAAAAAAUUGAAAUAUUGCAAGUGAAAGAUAACAAAUAUUAAAGAGCACACUGAAAAGAUUUUAAUUGACAUUUAACAAAUCAAAUAAACAGAUUCAUCCAUUCAAUUCUUUUUUUGACGCAAAUAAAAUUUUUUUAAAAAAUCAAUAGUGAAGUGACCCCAGCAUUAUAUAUAUAUAUAUAUAUAUAUAUAGACACACACACGCGCGACAUCGACGCGAUAUUUUAAUUAUUAUAUAAUACACCAUGAUAAUAAUCCAAUAUUAUCAGUAUCACAUUAGUGUCGGCUUGUAUUUAAGAGGAAAAAUAUAGAAACCAACAAUAAAACCAACAAUAAAAAGCCCAUUGAAUAAGCUUCCCAGGAGAAAAAAAUCCCCAUAAUAAUAUUGGAAAAAAUAUUCUAAACAUUCAAGACAAAAAAGAAUCAUCUCUCUGAAACAAAAGGAAACUUUUCAAAAAGUUAGAACGAAUUAAAACAAACAUAAAAUGUGCCAAAAAUAAAAAUAAAAAAACAUCCAAAAAUGCUUUCCUAAGCUCCAAGCGAACAACAAAUUAAAUGUGAAAAACGAAAAAAGAAACUACUGCUAGAAGUAGAGCUAUAAGGAAUCGAACCUUCUAUUCUAUUGAGCUCUCAAUUCAACAGGUGGAAGGUCAAUAAUCCUACAAAAUUUUGUUGAAGUACAUGCAUUCAAUUGUGGUUUUAUUGGGAGAUGAGGAGGGAACGGUUUUGGAAGAUGAGGGGUUUUGGAAGUUGGGAGAUGAGAGGGAAUAGUUUUGGUGCAAUUAUAUGCAUUCAAUUGUGAUUUUAUUGGGAGAUAAGGAGGGAACGGUUUUAAAGAUGAGGGGUUUUGGAGGUUGGGAGAUGAAAGAGAGCAGUUUUGAAAGAAGGAGAUAACGCCAUGUCAGCAAGAUAUUGGGGAUUCAUGGAUUAGUAUACACAUAUAACUUUUCAAAUCAUCGUAAAAAGUGAAAAAAAUAUUAAACAACAGUAAGAAAAAUUAAAAUUUACCUAAUUUAAUUCAUCACACUAAUUGGAUCCCAAUUCAUUCAUUUCCAUGAUCCAAAGAUUCUACAAUCUCAUUCUCUCAACGAUAUGUGCGUACAAAUUAAACUUAUAUAUGUUACACCAAAAGUCAAAUCAGGCAUUAUAAUUUUUUAAACUUUAUAAAAUUAUAUCAAACAAAUUAAAUUUUAAUUUGUUUUUUAGAGGAAAAUAUAAUUAGUUACAUAUUUUGUUCAUUUUGAGAUCAUUUUUUAUCCCCGAGUAAAACCUAAUAAGAGAUGUAGUGCCAAUAUGCAUAUGCUGAUCCUUGAAAAUUUUUAGAAUGUAUCUGUAUGUUAUCUUGAUAAAGUGGCAUGCAUCUCCAAUCAAUCAAAGAAUUUUUUUUAAAUUUAUUUGUUCCAUAAUAAUUAUUAAAAAUAUAAUUUUAUUAUAUAUUUAAAAAUAAAUAUAAUUAAUUUAUUAUUAAUGAUGUGAUGUAACUAUGAUACAGUAAACUUUUUUCUGCCAAGCCAUCUAUAACGCCUUUCCGGAUAGAUAACUGCAUGCAAUACAUUCUUUCUAUAUUAUUAGGAAGCAGUUUGCUCGUCCUUUGUUUGGACAGAUGCAAUCAUGAAUGAGGGGGCCCGACAAACCCUCACUCCGUACACAAGAGUUAUUGCAGCUGAUGUGUUGUUUAUUGGAAUCGGACCACGUGUUGCACAUACGGACGAGGUGUGAUAAGAAAAGUCUCAUAAAUUAUUAAUACCGUCCAGGCUCUCUUGAGCGAUUAGUCUCUGUCCAAAAUAAUCGUGAUAGUUACAAAAUACUUGUUUGUUAUAUAUCAUUUGUGUCGCUUAAAUAUUCUAUAGCUGAUAUUCAAAAUUUUUUAAAAAUGCCCUGUAGAUAUUUUAUCAAUAAUUUUCAUCAUCACGCAUACAUCACAUAAAUAAUUUUAAAUUUUAAAUUUAUAAUUAAAAUUCUGAAUUUAAUUUUAAAUUUGAAUUCAUAUUUUGAACUUAAAAUUGUAAGUCAAUUUUAAAUCUAAAUUAAAUUUGAAAUUCAAAUUCAAAUUUAUUUUUUGAAUUUGAAUUUCAAAAUAAAACUUUGAAAUUAAAUAUAAAACUAAUUAAAAAUGUAGAUUCACUACAACAAAAUUAAGUUAUAGAGACACAUGUUUGAGACAUUUCAGUGUAAGUGUCUCAUUUAUUUCAAAACAUUAAAAAUAAUCUAUUUAAAUAUAAAGUCUAAUCCAACAAAAAAAAUAAAAGGUUACUUUACUCAACCCACCCAAUCCAGAGCAUUCGACCCGAUUACAAACAGAAAAGGAAAAAAAAAAAAAUCGAUUAACAUCUCCAUUUCUUCCCUAACUCAAUCCACUGAAAUUCUAGAAGAAAAGCCCUUCAAUUCUCUCUCCUCCUCCUCUGCCACCGCAGCCAACGAGGUAGAGUUCUGACGGUUACUAAAUGUUUAAAUAAGUGUCGGUAAAUUAGCAGCACUCUUUUUAAGUUAUACCGACGCUCUUUAACUGUCACUACAUAUACCUAGCGAUCCCACAUAUAGCAAUAUUUUUUUAAAAUGUCGGUAAUUUAGCAACCAAUAUUUUUUCUGACAUGUACUGCUGAUAUUUAAAAGUGUCGCUAUAUAUCGUUUUUGUUGUAGUGAUAAAAAAUUCACGCCCCUUGUUGGCCUUUAUCUUGUCCACAUGUUGCAGCCGUGGUUUUGGCAUGAAGAAGAUCGACUUCGGCAUUAUUGAGGAAAAAUAGAUUUAAGUGAUUGAUAGCUUAAAGUUAAAAUUGUAGAUGUCAAAUGUGUAGUUUUACUAAUGUUUUAGUCAAUUAUGCUCAAAGGGAACAUAUAUAUAGUUCAAAAAUUUGUUAUGCUUUUAAUCCUAUAUAAUUAAGUAAUAGGGGUAAUUUCAAAUGUUCCGGUCAAAAGGUACAAAAUAUAACAAAUGUCUUUACAAAAUUGUAGAUGUCAUUUUUACCACUAUAAAUUUAUGAAUUAUAGCAAAAAUAUCCAUUUUCCGGUUAACUAAGAUUAUCGGACCAAUUUUUGUAUAUUAUAUAAUGAAUCAAUUAUAAUCUAAUUCUCACAGUCCAUUAGAAAAUAAAGAAGUGAAUAUUUAUAGGAUUUCACAACAGUUCCUAAGUUAGAAGACGACCCAAAAUAUGCAACGUCCGAGUUCGAAGCUGGUAACUAAAGUUAAUUUAAUGUGUUAACUUCAAUUUACCCCGUGAUUAAGUAGAUUUUUUCACUUUUUCCUCCAAUGGUUUAAAAAUUCAUCGACAGAACCUGAUGUCAGUUACGAAAGUGAAUUUUUUUAAAAAAAUUAUAGCAUACUAUGCUCUUUAACAAUAAAUUCUUACGAUGAAAUAAAAUAAAAUUGUAGAAUACUUAAGUAUAACUCUUUAAGCCACGGAAUGACCCUGUUAAAUAUAAAAAUAUUUAAAACACCGUUAUCUAACAGCUUAAGCUUUUAGAGUACAACGAUUGUUUAAACAUUUUUAUAUUUCAGUUUCGUUCAUUUUGCGAUUUUCUUUUCUUUUUUUCCUUUUUAAAGUAAAACGUAGAGACUUGGUGCUUGCCAAUGUGCAUGUGAUGAAAUCAUUAAUUUCUCUCUUGUCCAUUAUUAUUUUGAGAGAAAGGUACACUACCUGCUUUAUUCAUUAAAAAAUAAGUUAAACAAAAGAGUAAGAUAAAAGAAUCUCCGAAGUAGGCCGAAAAAAUAAAAAAAAUAAUUAAAUUAAAAAAAACACAUAACCAAAAAAAAAAGAAAAGGAUAUCCUCGUUUAAACACUCUAUUCUCCUCCUACUGAAGCAUCAAACAUCUGAUCGAGUUGACAGCUAGUAAGAAAUUAGUAUUAGCCAAUCUAAAAAUAACGAUGUUCCUUACUGUUCAGAUAACUUACCAAUUGACUGUCAGUUCAGUCAUUCUAUUUCUAACAUACUGAGCACUAUCCUUUUCCAUGCAUCCACUUAUCUAUCCCAUAAUAAUAACCUCUCUUGUCCAUUGUUGGAUCGGAAAGUUGCAAACAAGAGUGGGACAACUUUUCACUCCGUCCGCAAGAGUUGUUGUCGCUGCGCUUGCACCUCAUUUAUUGUUGUUGUAUGAUUGAAAUUAUUUAGAGCAUGUGUGGCACAACAUGAAUAAGAAUAAGAGUUUAUGCAUAUAUAUAUAUAUAUAUAUAUAUAUAUAUAUAUAAAAUUGAGCUCAUAUGCUUUUAAAAGUACCAAGUUAUUAGUGCUUGUAGAUUUUUGGCCAUUGGAUUAAGAGAUAUGCGGUUAGGAUGAUAUGGGCCCCCUAGGGUUGAGUUGGUGGUUGGUUGCAUAAUAUAAUCUAAUGGUUGAAAAUGAUUCGAGGAGUAGAUCUAACGAUAAAAAACUUAAAAGCACCAAGUGUUUGGUGCUUUUACAAGCACCAUAGCCGUACUCUCUCUCUCUCUCUCUCUCUCUCUCUCUCUAUAUAUAUAUAUAUAGUAGGUCUUAUGUGCUAUUAGGAGCACGGGGGCUCCUGUGCUCCUAAGCCGUUUUCGAUGAUGGAGCUUCCGAAUCGACGAUCGGUUCUGUUAGACUUGAUCUAGCAUAUUUGAAGUAUCUAGGAAAUAAAUUUUGUGACUUUUUUAUAAUAUUUAUCUAACGAUCGAAAGGGUUCAAAAUCAACGGCUGAAAAUAAAAAUCUUACAAAAAGUCGUGAUAUAGCAUUAAAAUUUUCGAUCAAACAUAUUGAUCUUGCUGUAAAUAGUAUAAAGAAUUUUCUAUCAAAAUUUCAUCUAAUUUGAAUACAUCAACUAUUAAAAAUUGUUGAUUUUGAACUCUUUUGAUCGCUAGAAAAAUGAUACAGAAAAAUCACAAAAAUUAUUUUCUAGAUAGUUCAAAUACGCUAGAUCAAGUUUAACGAAGCUGAUCGUCGAUUCGGAAGCUUCAUCAUUGAAAACGGCUUAGGAGCACGGAGGCCCCCGUGCUCCUAAUAGCACACAACACCUGCAAAACGGAAACUCCAUAAGCUGUCCCUGCAAAAGUCCUAAUUUAUGCAGAUAUGUCCCUCUGAUUAACAUCUGUUAGAGAACUGUUUAUUUUUUAACAGUUUUCAUGUGAAAUGACCAUUUUGCCCUCACAAAUAUAUCCCUCCAAAAGCAUCUUCCCCCUCUCUUUCUCUUCCUCUUCCUCUUCGGGCCGCCGGAGCGGAUGGCGGCGACGGCGCGGGUCGAGCUCGCCGGCGACAAAGAAGAGGGAAGAGAAAGAAUGAGAGGAAGAAAAAAAGGGAAGAGGAAGAAGGAGAGGAAGAGGGAGAGGAAGAGGGAAGAGAAAGAUGAAGAGGGAAAGGGUUCNNNNNNNNNNNNNNNNNNNNNNNNNNNNNNNNNNNNNNNNNNNNNNNNNNNNNNNNNNNNNNNNNNNNNNNNNNNNNNNNNNNNNNNNNNNNNNNNNNNNNNNNNNNNNNNNNNNNNNNNNNNNNNNNNNNNNNNNNNNNNNNNNNNNNNNNNNNNNNNNNNNNNNNNNNNNNNNNNNNNNNNNNNNNNNNNNNNNNNNNNNNNNNNNNNNNNNNNNNNNNNNNNNNNNNNNNNNNNNNNNNNNNNNNNNNNNNNNNNNNNNNNNNNNNNNNNNNNNNNNNNNNNNNNNNNNNNNNNNNNNNNNNNNNNNNNNNNNNNNNNNNNNNNNNNNNNNNNNNNNNNNNNNNNNNNNNNNNNNNNNNNNNNNNNNNNNNNNNNNNNNNNNNNNNNNNNNNNNNNNNNNNNNNNNNNNNNNNNNNNNNNNNNNNNNNNNNNNNNNNNNNNNNNNNNNNNNNNNNNNNNNNNNNNNNNNNNNNNNNNNNNNNNNNNNNNNNNNNNNNNNNNNNNNNNNNNNNNNNNNNNNNNNNNNNNNNNNNNNNNNNNNNNNNNNNNNNNNNNNNNNNNNNNNNNNNNNNNNNNNNNNNNNNNNNNNNNNNNNNNNNNNNNNNNNNNNNNNNNNNNNNNNNNNNNNNNNNNNNNNNNNNNNNNNNNNNNNNNNNNNNNNNNNNNNNNNNNNNNNNNGAGCACGGAGGCCUCCGUGCUCCUGAGCCGUUUUCGAUGAUGGAAUUUCCAAAUCGACGAUCGGCUCCGUCAGACUUGAUCUAGCGUAUUUGAAGUUUCUAGAAAAUAAUUUUUGCGAUUUUUUGAUAUCAUUUACCUAGCAAUCGAAAGGAUUUAGAAUCAAUAAUUUUUAACGGCUGAAAAUAAAAAUUCUAUAAAAAAAGGUGAUAUAGCAUUAAAAUUUUCGAUCAGAAAUAUUGAUCUUGUUGUAGAUAGUAUAAAAAAUUUUGUAUCAAAAUUUCAUCCGAUUUGAAUAUUUCUACACCGUUAAACUUGAAAAUGGUAGAUAUCAACUAUUAAAAAUUAUUGAUUUUGAAUCCUUUCGAUCAUUAGGUAAAUGAUAUCAAAAAAUCACAAAAAAUAUUUUCUAGAAACUUCAAAUACCCUAGAUCAAGUCUAACGGAGCCAAUCGUCGAUUCGAAAAUUCCAUCAUCGAAAACGGCUUAGGAGCACGGAGGCCUCCGUGCUCCUAAGAGCACAGCAGCCCUACUCUAUAUAUAUAUAUAGAGCUUCUAUAUUUUUAAAAAUACUAAGUUAUUGGUACAUAGAGAUUUUUGGCCAUUGGAUUAAGGGAUAUAUGGUUAGGAUGAUGUGGGACUCUUAGGAUUGAGUGGGUGGUUAGUUGAAUAAUAUGAUCUAACGGAUGAAAAUAAUCAAAAUGAUUGAUUUAAUAGUAAAAAAUUUACAAGCACUGUUGAUAUUUUUACAAGCAUCAUAGCCGAACUUAUAUAUAUAUAUAUAUAGGCUACUAUACUCUUAUGAGUACGAUUGCCCUCGUACUCAUAAGUUGUUUUCGACGAUAGAGCUUCCGAAUCGACGAUCCANNNNNNNNNNNNNNNNNNNNNNNNNUAUAUAUAUAUAUAUAUAUAUAUAGUCCAGUUAUGGCGCUUGUAAAAGCACCAAGCACUUGGUGCUUUUAAGUUUUUUAUAGUUAGAUCUACUCCUCGGAUCAUUUUCAACCAUUAGAUUAUACUAUUCAACCAACCACCCACUAAAUCCUAGGGGGCCCACAUCAUUCUAACUGUAUAUCUCUUAAUCCAAUUGCUAAAAUUCUAAAAGCACCAAUAACUUGGUACUUUUAAAAGUAUAAGAGCUCAAUUCGCUCUCUCUCUCUCUCUCUCUCUCUCUCUCUCUCUCUCUCUCUCUCUCUCUAUAUAUAUAUAUAGAGUCCGGCUGUUAUACUAUCGGUAGCACGGAGGCCUCCGUGCUACCAAGUUCUUUUCGAUAAUGCGGAAAAGCCCAAGUUCUAAGUUGGCACUAAAGUUAAUUUACUGAGUAAAUUCAAUUUACCCACACCCCCGCCCCCUGUAAUUUAGUGGAGUUUUACUUUGUUCUUAUGUAGUUUAAAGGUUGCAUUUAACUAUUAUGUGAUUUUUUAUUUUUAUUUUAUCGAUAGAACUUGACAUCAGUUAGCAAAUUGAAUUUUUUGUUCUCUUUAACAAUAAGUCUUUACAAGAAAAUAAAAUUAAUACUAUAGAAUAGUUAAGUAUAACUUUUCAAACCGCAUUAUAAGAAAGUGAAAAAAAAUUAAACGGCAGUAAAAAAAAAAAUAAAAAUUACCUAAUUAAAUUCAUCAUACUUACUCGAUCCCGAUUCAUUCGUUUCCCUUCAAAGAUUCUACAAUCUCAUUUUCGCAACGAUAUCUGAGUGCAAAUUAAACAUGUAUUAAACCAAAAUCAAAUCACGGAUUAUAAUUUUUUAAUGCAUAAAUCUUUUAAACUUUACAAAAUUAUAUCAAAUUAAUUAAAUUUUAAUUAAUUUUAAAAUUUAUUAGGGAAAAAGAUACUUAGUUAUCCGUUUUGUUCAUUUUGAGAAAUUGUUUUGGCAUUGACUGUUACUAGUGCAACUGGUAAAGAGGUUUGGUGAUUGGUAUCCGAGGUUUUAAAUUAAAGUUAAGUUUAUUUCUAAAUAAAAUAAACGAAAGAGUAGUAUAUAUGCUACCUAUCUCUUAAAAAAAAAAAAAGAAUUUCUUUUGGCAAAACCUACUGGAUGUAGACCCAAUCAGUACGUGUGCUAACGUUAUUUUUGGCAAAAUCUACUAGAUGUAGACCGAAUGUGUACGUGUGCAAAUGUUAUUUUGUCUCUUAUCAAUCAGUUAGUAAAGUCGCAAUCCAGAGGGGGACAACUUUUAUUGCGGACUGAUGAAAUUUUUUGGACCGGCAUUGGGCAAGCACCGUUCCGCAAAUUUGUGCACCUCCUCGUGAGCAGUCGAGCAAUUUUGCCUGUUCACUUUUUGAAGAAAACAUCAAGACCGAGCAAAGCAAAGAAGAAAAGGAGCGAGCAAGGAAGAAUGAGCUUGGAAAAAAUCGCGAUGUACAUUGGAAAAUAGUGGGGUCCACGAGGCUGCACUUAGCCUCAUGGACCAUGUGGAGUGAGAGGUCCACAGCAGUCCUUGUGCUCCUAACUUUUUAACCACACAUCAAAGUUUGAUGGGUGGUUAGAAUGAAAGAGGGAUGAGAUAUUGGGGAGAAAUUGGAUGUCCCUAUUUUUCUUAUUCUUGAAUUUUUCUUUAAUAUCUCAUCCCUCUCUCAUUCUGAUCAUCCAUCAAACUUGAUGGGUGAUUAAAAAGUUAGGAGCAUAAGGGCUGCUGUGCUCCUAAUAGCACAGUAGCCCUACUAUAUAUAUAUAUAUGAUUUUAUAUAUUAUUUUAUAUUAAUUUAUUUUUAUAUUUAUAAAAAUUAUAAUUAUUUAUGAUAUGACAUAAAUCUAAAAAAAAAUUAAUAUCCUAAUUAUGGAUAUUCUUCAUAAUUAUGAGUAUUUAUACUAAAAGCAUAAAUCUAGAGUCAAAGAAAAAUUAACAGCCGAAUUUUUUUAUCUCGAAUUUUUAAUUGGUGCACGUAUAAUAUUCGUAUAAAUCACGUAUCCGAAUAAUUUACGAAUCUAUUUUUUAGCCGUAUUUUUAACAAAAUUUUAAAAUUAAAAUACAAAUUUUAUCCGUAUUAUAUUCAUACCGAAUUUUUGCCGAAUCCGAAUUAACUACCUAUGUUGGACCACAACAUACAUACCGAUUAUUCAGAUACAACUUUAUUUCGCACACAUAUAUGAGAAUUGGUUAAAUUGCACCACAGGCCUCUAAAGUUAAAAAUUUAGUUUGGGCACUAUAUGCGUUAAUUUCGCUCGGGCAUCAUCUGAAGUAAGCCAUGCCAAACUAGGCCCCGCCCUCAACUACAGGCCACCCCCCCAUCUACAGAACAUUCCAAACUAGGUCCCCUAACAUUUCGUCUUUUUUUUUUAAGUUUAUUUUUUGUUUUAAAUUUUUUGAUAAAUUGAGAUGUUUUAGUGAAAUAUAUUAAGAAUUUUAUCAGAUUUUCCGUGAUUCCAUCAAAUUUAAAAGAUUUGACCAUUUCUAGCAAUUGAAACUUGAAUAAUUUACAAGUAACUAGAAUUGCCCAAAUUAAACAAAUUUAGAAGAUAAAAAGAUGUUAAGAGUUGAGAAGUCGAUUUCAAAGGAGCCUAUGAUUGAGCGCUUCUUCAUACCCUUCUACCGAUUACUGUUUAGAAUCAAUUUUUCAUUAUUCUGAAAAGGCUUUCAGUAUAUAGGAAAUGAUGAAAUGAUCUCCCACAGUCUCAGAUUAUAUAAUAUAGUACUAUAUAGUAUAGAGAGAGAGAGAGAGAGAGAGGAGAGGGUUGGACCUAUAUACUAAUUACAAGUAUCCCAUCAUGUUAUUAGGUUCUUAAAGUCAUUGGAUCUACUUUGAUUAUGAAUAGCGCUAUGGAUUAACACUUAUCUCCAACCUACAACCACCUACCACAUCAUCUCAAACCUCAAAUCUCUCUAAUCCAACGGGCUAAAAACACACAGUAUGAACCUCAUAAUACUUUUACAAGUAUUCUAGGCCUACUCUCUCUCUCUCUGCUCUCUCUCUCUCUUAUAUAUAAAUAUAAUUACGGCUAGAUAUACUAAUUAAUAGUAAAAUGCUCUUCCUUUGCUAUCAAGUUUGUUAACCUUGGAUGUGAAAAAAUUAUGAGGGUCGGACUGAUAUUAGUCGGUUAGAGCUUGAGUGCGUCCCUUAGCGGUGGAUGGUCCCCACUGGGAUGAUAUGAAUUUAAUCCGAAUUGUUAGAAAUAAUGAAAAGAGUUAUGAUACAGAAGGCUAAAAAAUCCGGUCACAAUAAAAUUUUGCUACUAAUAGUAGCCCAGUCUCUCUCUCCUCUCUCUCAUCUCUCUUCUCUCUCUUCUCUCUCUCUUCAUAUAUAUAUAUAUAUAUAUUAUAAUAUAUACAGAGUUGAUGCUAGAAACUAUCGCUAGUAAACCGACGCCGUUUUACUACCGAUUUUGUUUUCGAUGAUAGAGCCUUCCAACAAAUGAAGAAUCAGCUCCGUUUAAAUUGAUCUAAACCAUUUAAACUACUAGAAAUUCAAAGUUCACGCACUUUCGAUAUUUUCUUUUAUCCAUCAGUGAACAGAAAAAGAAUAGUUGAAAAUAAAUACUCUUUAAAAAAUGAUGAUAGGAGUCUUUAAUCAGAUCAAGAGUAUAGAUCUUGUUUUAAAUAGUUUAAAGAAUUUUCUAACAAAAAUUCAAUUGAUUUGGAUAUUUUUACGCCGUUAAACGAGAAAACGCCUCUUAUCAACCAUUAAAAUUACAAAUUUUGAAACUCUUUGAUCAUUAGGCAAAUGAUGCCGAAAAGAUUUGAAAUUUGAUUUCUAAACACUUCAAGUGGUAUAGAUCAUGUUCAACGGAGCCGAUCGUCAAUUUGGAAGUUCUAUCAUCGAAAACAAAUUGGUAGUAAAACGGCUCGUUUACUACCGAUAGUAUUCUAGCUCAACUCUCUCUCUCUCUCUCUCUCUCUCUCUAUAUAUAUAUAUAUAUAUAUAGCUCAAUUAUAGGUGUUCUUAAUUAACGUAAAAGGAACUUAUAAGCAAACUUUAUAGAGAAAAAAAAAUAUUUACAUGCAUGUAAGGAUAACAUUUUGGGGACUUCUUGCUUUAGAUUCAACACUUUCUCUCAUUAUAAAUAUAUAUAUAGAGAGCAAGAUGAGCUGGAAUGCUAUUAAUAGCAAACAGGUAUUGGUGCCACCCAUUUGUUUUUUAUGAUGAAGUCUUCAAAUCGACGAUCGGUGUCGUUGAACAUGAUCUGUACCACUUGAAAUAUUUAGAAAUUAAAUUUUAAAUCUUUUCGACAUCAUUAACCCAGUCAUCGAAGAGUUUCAGAUUUUGUAAUUUCAAUAGUUAAUAUGAGAUGUUUUCUCGUUUAACGGCGUAAAAGUAUUCAAAUCAAUUAAAUUUCUGUUAGAAAAUUUUUUAAACUAUUUAGAACAAAAUCUAUACUCUUAAUCUUGAUUACAAAACUCCUAUCAUCACUUUUUAAUAGGAUAUUCAUUUUCGAGCCGUUCAUUUUUGUGUCCACUUGAUAGACAAGAGAACAAUAUCAAAAAAAUAUAAAAUUUAAUUUCUAAAUACUUCCGAUGGUAUAGAUAAUGUUAAACGAUGCCGAUCGUCGAUUUGGAGGCUCCAGUAUCGAAAACAAAUGGAUGGCAACGAAGUCCAUUUACUACUAAUAGCAUCCUAGCUCAACUUUGUCUCUUUCUAUAUAUAUAUAAAGAGUAAAGCUACUAUACUAUUAGAAGCACAGUAGCCCUUAUACUCCUAAGUUCGUAAUUAUUCAUCAAUUUUGAUGAAUAGUUAGGAUUAAUAUCUCAUUUCUCUCUUAAUUUUUUUUCUUUGAAUUUCUUUUCAAUUUCUUUUUUCUCUCUCACCCUAACUACCCAUCAAAAUUGAUGAAUGGUUGUGAACUUAGAAAUACAAGGCUGCUGUACUCUUAAUAGGACAGUAGCUCUACUAUAUAUAUAUAUAUAUAUAUAUAUAUAUAUAUAUAUAUAGAGAGAGAGAGAGAGAGAGAGAGAGAGAGUCCGGCUACUAUACUAUCGAUAGUACCAAGCCCUUGAUACUAUUGAGUUUUCUACCAUUAGAUCUACCCUUUGAUCAUUUCCACCCGUUAGAUUAUACUAUUAAACCAACCAUCCACUCAACCCUAGGGGACCACUAUCAAUUUAAUCAGGGACCACUAUCAUCCUAACCAGCAUAUCUUUCAUAGCAACGCGAAAACUCAAUUAGUACCAGGUUUGGUUAUGAUAUUAUAAGCUAAUCUAUAACAUAAUUAUAUAUAUAUAUAUAUAUAUAUAUAUAUAUAAUAUAAUAUAUAUAAAAUACUACUAUAUAAUAUAUAUAAAUAUCCGGCUAACUAUAUUAUCAUAGUACAAACACUUCAUACUAUCAAAAUUUAACUGUUAGAUCUAUUUUUUUUUGACUAAUUUCAUCCAUUAAUCAUACUUAUUGAUCAACUACCAAUCAACUCUAGAAGACCAUUAUACAUCUAACUAGCAUAUCUUUCAUCAACCAUUACCAGCGCUGUGAUGAUAUUAAAUAGUAUAGUGGCGAUAAUAUAUAUAUAUAUAUUAUAUAUAUAUUAAAUAUAUAUAUAUAUAAAAAUGAAUGAAAUACCUUCUAACACCUUUGGUCUAUCACUUCUAAACCUUGGAUUAUUUUUUAUUACAAUAACUUGGAUUAAAUAUAUAACCAACUACAUCACACAUACGCACCACCUACCCACCAUCAUCUCAACCUACAUAUUUCAAUCUGAAGGGUAAAAACCCAAAACACCAACCAAUUGAGUGCUUUGAAGAGUAUUCUACUUACUCAUUCCUACUCUCUCUCUCUCUCUCGUCCCAGGCGUUAUUAUAUCCUCUUCUCCUUUCUCUCCUCUCUCUCUACUUCUAUAUAUAUAUAAUAUAUAAUAUAUAUAUACUAUGAUGAGCUAUACUAUCGAGCACGGAUCUUCCCGUGCAUUACAGCCGUUUUCGAGUUGCGACUUCGAAUCGUCGAUCGGCAACUUUCCGUAUUAAACUGAUCUAAGAUAUUAUGAAGUACUAAGAAAAUAAAUUUAUGAUACAUUAUUAUUUACGCUAUGAACGAAGGGCUCAAAAUCAACAGCUGAAAAUAAAAAUCUUACAAAAUGUAAUAAUAUGACAUUAAAAUUUUAAAUCAAAGAUAUUGAUCUUGUUUUAUAUAGUAUAAAGAAUUUUCUAUCAAAAUUUCACGUGAUUUGGAUAUUUCUACACCGUUAAACUUGCAAACGGCUCACUACGGCCAUUGAAAUUUGUUGAUUUUGAGCCCAUUCGAUCACUAGGCAAAUGAUAUCGAAAAAUAAUAAAAUUUAUUUUCUAGGUACUCCAAAUACUCUAGAUCAAAUUUAACGGAGCCGAUCGAUGAUUCGAAAGUCGCAACAUCGAAAACGAGCUGGAAGCACGGAAGGCUCCGUGCAUAUAUAUAUAUAUAUAUAUAUAUAUAUAUAUUGUCCGGCUAUGAUGCUUUUAAAAGAAUCAAGCACUUAUGCUUGCUUGUAAGUUUUCCAUCGUUAGAUUUACCUUUUUGACCAUUUUUACCUAUUAAAUCAUACUAUUCAACCAACCACCUACUCAACCCUAGGAGACUAAUAUCAUUCUAACCGCACUUCUCUUAAUCCAAGGACCGAAAACCUAUAAGCACCAACGAUUUGAUAUUUUUAAAAGUAUAGGAGCUCAAUUAUUUGUAUAUUAGGAAUGUUGUGCUCCAAGAAGCAUAGAGGCCUCCGUACUCUUAAAUUAUUUUCGAUGAUGGAAUUUUCAAAUCGAUAAUCAGCUCCGUUAGACUUGAUAUAGUAUAUUUGAAUUAUGUAUAAAAUAAAUUUUAUAUUUUUUUGAUAAUUUUUGUAGUAAUCGAAAGCGUUCAAAAUCAAUGGUUGAAAAAAACCGUAUAAAAAAUAAUGAUAUAAAGAUCGUAUAUCAUUAUUAGGAUAAUGUGGGCCCGGCACGGCACAGUUAGGAUAAUGUGGAACAUAAUUAGGGGUGUAAUGUGGGCCAUGCCGGGCCGGCACGGCCAACAUUACUCUGGCCGAAACGGGCCAGGAGUAGGCUGAGCCCGGCUCGGAUUUACAUCUAAGUUGUGCCGUGUCGGGCCGGAUGAACCAACCGUCCGGCCCAGCACGACCCCCAGGCCCGGAAGGUCCGGGCCGUGCUGGGCCAGGUCGUGCCGGGCUUUGGGUCCGCCAUUUAAAAUUUUUAUUUGUAAUUUUUUUCAAAAAUAUAAAAUUUUAAAUUAUGAUUAAUUAAGUAUUUCUAUUUAAAUUUAUAUUGUGAUUAAAAAUUUUUAAAUUUCUAAAUAUUUUAAUUUUUCUAAAAAAUUAAUAAAUUAUUAUUUAUUAUUUUAAAUAUAAUUAAUGGAAUUUGCUCCAUCGAACCAACAUAAACAUGGUGCUACUACUAUGUGGGCUAAGAGCCAUGUCGAUCCGCAUAAUAUUUUUUUUACAAAAAUAUUUUUAAUAGAAUAAAAGUUUUUUACUAAAUAUUUUUUAUUUAUAUAAAUAUCAAUGACUAUUUAUGAGUCCGGCUGGGAUACUAUUGAUAGCACCAAGGGUUUAGUAAUAUCGAGUUUUCCACCGUUAGAUUUAACUAUUUGAUCAACUGCAUAUUUUUCAAUAAGGGAUAAAAAACUAAUAGCACCAAGCUAUACAUUGAUAGCAUUCCAGCCUAGUUCGACCAUUUAUAUAUAUAUCUUUUUAUAUUUAUUCUUCAUUAUACAUUGGCUUCAUAGUACUAUCGUAUAACACAACCCAAUUAUGUGGCUAGGUCGAGUUACAGCAAACCCUUAUUUCCACCCUAGAAUACGGGCAUACACAAUUGCAUUGCAUAAGGAGACACAUGUUCGAUCCAUUUUGUAAUACUAAUUAAUAAGCAACAGUAGAUCACAAUAACUGUAGAUCUUCAAACUAGCUUACAUAGAACAUACCGAAACAUAACAGAAACCACAAGGUCGAAGAAAGCAGCUGAACAGUUGGAUGCCUACUUGCAUCCUUAUUUUAUAACUAAGCAUAUAUAUAUGAUAGCAAACUGCAUGCAGUGCGUUGCUAAUCAUCAUCACUUCCGAUCGACCUACACUGAGCUUCGACUUUCAGAAACCAUUUUAAUGGCUUCGACAUUGGCCCCAGAUUGUAGAGUGGGAUAGAGAGGAUCCAUGGCGAUUCCACAUAAUCCAAAUGACGAUGACACAUCUCUUGCCAUGCGGAUGUAUCCGCCCUCACCCCAUCUGGCACCCCAUGAGUUCCUUACUAGCCAAAAUUUUUUUCCGCUGCUAUCCUGCCCGUAACCUAUAAUGGCGAUGGCAUGAUUGAGUCUAGUUCCACAAGGUCCGUUAAACACACCGCCCUUGUAAUGUUGAAAGUUUCCACUGGCAUCGAGAGCAGCAGUAAUUGGUUGAUUCGACACAGCGUACAUCAUGCUGCUUUCGUUGUUCCUCCGCACACGUGCAUAACUAGUAAUAUAGGCUGAAUUGGGCACGCCAUUGGUCUUGCAGGGGCCUUUGGAUGCUUUGUAAGGGUAGAUAGCUGCCGAUGCCACGCCCUUGUUAGAUAUGAUGAAUUCGAAGGCCCUGAACUCCCAGCCGCCUUUGCACCCGUAGCCUUUAGCACAAUCGAGAACUUGCUGCUCCGAUAAAUAUACUAAGUUCCCUCUUUUGAUCUUGUAG